UUCUACAUCUAUUUAUAAGAUUAACGGGUGCCAGUUAUGCCAUUACAAAUUAUCCCCUCAUCAGAUAUUUCGUUAAAAUUCAUUCUGAAACACUAAAACUAAAUAAUCGAACAUGGCUUUGCGGGUCGAUGAUGCCAGAAGCAAUUCGACUGCAAUUAUCACUUGUUUAGUUUCUGUGCUUGCCGUGGUUUACUUGGCAUGGAAUGUGAAAAAAUCAAGGAAAGCAAAUGCUAAACUGCCACCAGGACCUCCCGGCUUGCCUGUAGUCGGAUACCUCCCAUUUCUCGGAACUACUGACUUGCACAAGAAAUUCACGGAAUUAUCCGGAGUUUACGGUCCGAUCUUCAAGCUCUGGCUCGGAAAUAAAUUAUGUGUAGUGGUGAGCUCACCUUCCCUAAUUAGACAAGUGGUUCGUGAUCAAGAUACAACAUUCGCGAACCGUGACCCACCGAAGGCUGCACUAGUGGUCUCCUAUGGUGGCAAUGAUAUUGCAUGGUCCAAUUACGGUCCCGAAUGGAGAAAGUUGCGCAAAUUUUUUGUGGGCAAGAUGAUGAGUAACGCAAGCCUUGAUGCUUGUUAUGCUCUAAGAAAACAAGAGGUUAAAAAUACUAUCAGGGAUUUGUAUAACAACGACAACAAAAUUGGCAAGCCCAUUGACAUUGGUGAAUUGUCGUUUUCAACAUUGGUAUGUGCUAUACAGAACAUGCUGUGGGGUGAAGCGCUUGAAAUAAGAGAGAAAGGGACCACUAAUCUUGGGGCUGGGCUAAAAUUUAAGCUGGCAGAACUCAUGGUGCUUGCGGGAACACCGAAUAUUUCGGAUGUCUUUCCAAUGCUUUCAUGGCUUGACAUACAAGGUAUAGAGAGGAGAGCAAAGAAGAUUUCACUCUGGCUUGAAAAUGUUAUAAAUUCUACUGUUGAACAGCAUAGAAACAAGGAGUCAACUGUUGAAGGUGAAGAAAGAGCGGGGAAAAAUUUUGAAGGAUCAAGGAACAAGAACUUCUUGCAGUUACUAUUGGAGCUUCAAGAAAAUGAUGACAGUGCUUCCUCAAUUAGCAUGAACCAAUUCAAGGCCGUACUCAUGGUAUGUUAAGUAACUAGCAACGAACAGUUAUACAAGCACAGUUGUAUAUUUGCAUGAGUGAUAUUUUCAACCUUUUUUUUUAAUUAGAAUUUUAUUGUCACCUUUUGGACAGGAUAUAAUUACGGCUGGAACCGACACCACAGCUACGAUGGUGGAAUGGACAAUGGCAGAGUUGAUGCAGCAUCCACAAGUAAUGAAGAACGUUCAGGAAGAAUUAGCUCAAGUUGUGGGCAUGGACAGUUGUGUUGAAGAAUUUCACCUGUCUAGAUUAAAGUAUUUAGAUGCUGUGGUGAAGGAAACAUUUCGUCUGCAUCCUGCAGUGCCUUUAUUAGUACCACGCAGAGCAAGCGAGAGUGGCAGCAUUGGUGGCUAUACCAUUCCCAAAGAUACAACUCUUAUGUUGAAUGUUUGGGCUAUCCACAGGGACCCUCACCUUUGGGAUAAUCCCUUAGAAUUUCGACCCGAGAGGUUUCUGAAUGUUGGUGUCGAGAGUAAGUUCGAUUACUCAGGUAACAAUUUUCAGUACUUGCCAUUUGGUUCUGGUAGAAGAAUGUGUGCUGGGAUUCCUCUAGCUGAGAGGAUGCUGAUGUUUGUUUUGGCUUCGUUAUUGCACUCAUUUGAGUGGGAAUUGCCAGCUGGCACAAAGCUAAACUUAUCUGAAAAAUUUGGGAUUGUCAUUAAGAAAAAAGAGCCUUUGGUUGCUAUUCCAACACCAAGACUAUCCAAUUCAGAGCUCUACCAUUAAGACAAAAUGGUUGUGAUGAUUUUGUUAAUUUUCCGAAGAUUUGUAUGUUAUUUAGUUCAAUCGUAAUAAAAUAUUUCAAAUAAGAGUCCUCCGUUGCUUUUUUUUUUUUUUUUUUUUCAACGGCAUAAUCUGUCGUCAUGCUUGUAUUUGGAGCUACUUUGGAAUAAUUAUGUUUGAAUUACAAUUUAUAAAUAUUUACGUUUUAAAUUUUUUAUAAGAGUCUAAAUUUAUACACGUUUAAUAUCCCGCUUCAUAGAUAUUUAACACAAUUUAUAUCAUACAUUGUAUACCCAUUUGUCAUAAAUUAUACUAUUUUGUAUCUCUAAAUAAUAUUACGUAUUGAUAUUAUAAUAUAUAUAUAUAUGUUUAUCAAAAGACUAUACCAUUCAAUAUAUAUUGAAAAGAGAACAAAGAAGAUUUUCUUAUGGUUUAAAAAUAUUAUGAAUUCUGCUGUUGAACAGUAUGGAAACAAGGUCUCUGUUGUUAAAGGUGAAGAAGCAACAGGGAACAAUAUUGAAGGAAGAAAUUUCACAUGUUUAGUUGCUGAAUUUGCCGCUGUAUUCUAUCGGUAGUAGAGUUUUUAUUUUUCUCUAUUAAUUUAAGUCAAUUUUCUAUAACAAAUUCGGUUGAGUUUAAUUGUGUUAUAAUAUAAAUUGAAUGAUAAUAGAAUUUUCAACAAAUAUUUCAAUAUUUCUAUCUCGAUUGUUGAAGUGCCAUUUAUUUGUUAUGCGAUCGAUUUUAAAAUUUAUAAAAUUAUUUGUUACUAAAUUGCAUCAUAUGCUAAAAUCACCUGAAACCUAAUUCCAUAACUAACCCUUUAUUUUUAGUUCUCAAGAAAUCUUGUAAGAACAAAAAUCUUUUAUAACAAAACUUUUACAACACAUUAAUUUGUAACUCAUUCCUGUGCGCGAAUCACUCUCAAUUUCCUUCAAUUGCUGUUUAACAAUCAUCUACUUAUCAAAAUUCAAGCAUAAUCUUUUUUUUUUAAUUUCUUCAUCAUUCUUUAAAAAAAAAAUCAGGAUAUGCUGUUAAAUUUUGAAAUAAAUAAAUUAACCAAAGUUGGUUGAUGUGAGUGGUUCAAUGAUGAGCAUAAUUUAUAUACAUAUUUUACCUUUAAUUAUAUAAUUAUUAGUUAUUUUUAUUAGUUAUUUUUAAUUAAUUGAAUUAUUUUAUUGCAUAGAGAAUUAAUUGGAGAUUGGGAAACAAAAAGUGCAUAAAGAAUAACAAGUUUGGGAAAGCAUCAAUCAAAGCCGUGACGCAAUUAAGAGUUUAUAGCAUAUGAAGCCAAGAGUAAUUUGCACUCAAAAAGAAUUUCAAUUAUUCAAGUGACCUGGACCUGCAUGGCAUUGUAAUGCAUGGAAAGCAACUUAAAGGGGCCCACACUUGGCUUUUACAAUUGGAAAAAGGAAUCCUAGUGCAAGCUUAAUUGAUGAGCACGUGAGUGAGAGCAAAGAAAAUUAAAAGGCCAAGCCUUUUGGCUUAAGGAAAUAACAAGGUCGGUGGGGCCCAUUUUAAAGAGUAAUAUAAAAGCAAGCUUUUGGCUUUUGGAGAGAGGAGCCGCGAGAGGAGGAAAACGCAAGACAAAGAGAAGAAAAUCUGCAGCAGUUCGGCUUCUAUGGUUGGUUUUAUCUCUUUUGUUACUCUUAAUUCAAAUAUGUCUAGUUAAUUUUCUUAUAUUAAAGUUAAGGAUGAAACCCUAUUCAAUGAAAUAAUUAUCUUUUUAUUUAUUUAAUUCCCAUAUAUGUUCUUUAAUGAUUAUGAUUUUUAUUUCACAUGAUUAAUUGGAUGUUAUUAAAAUUUUUUCAUCAAUUCUGUCAUGCAUUAUUGAUUGUUAGGAUUAAUAUUCAAUUAAAUCUAUACUUAGAUUUAUAACGUUUAUACAUGAUUAUCUUUGAUUCUAUGUCUUUCAUUAAAUUGUUUACAUGGAGUGCUUAGGAAAACUUUGACUCUUUGUUAUUCAAUAUGUUCACAUGGGAUACUUAGAUGUCAUACUAUUAAGCGGAAAAAGAACCUAUAUUAGAUUUAAUUAUUUGGGCUUAAUUGUUAUAUCCAUGAGAUGACACAAAUUGAUUUCGAGUUGUCACUCUAAAAUUAGAGAUUAAUGAAUAUUUAGAUAAUUACUAGUUGAAUAGCGGUGGAUUCUGAAACCUUGGUAAUUUCUAUCUUAUUGAAUUCUCCUUUACUUUAAUUGUUUUCUUAGUUUAAUUAAUUUAAUUUCUUUUAAAACUCAAUUUGCUUAACUAGGUUAGAAUUAAUAUUAAUUUUAGAUUUAAAUUAGACUUUUCAAUUUAUAACAAUCCAUGUGGGAUCGACCUCGUUACCACUACUUUAUUUCUAGAUUCGUGCACUUGCGAGUAUAUUAAAAUUUUCACAACAAGUUUUUGGCGCCGUUGCCGGGGAUUGUGCCAGAAAGUCAGUUUAAUCUAGGUUGAUUUGAUUCUUCCACUAGUUAUAAUUUAUGUUGUCUUUUAUUUUAUUAUUAUUUUUAAUUAACAAAAACACACAAAAAAACUUUUAUUUUUCUUUAAAUUCAUUGUUUGGUUGUUUGAUUUCUUUUAUUUUUUAAAUUUUGUUUAUUCUCAUUAUUGUUGGUUUAUUUUAUUUUAUUUUUUUCUUUCCUUGUCUAGUUAGUUUAUGAGUGUUUGGGAAUGUGAUUCAACAAAUCGUUUGGUAAAAGAGAGUCAAAAAUUGAUAGUAGUCAAGUUAGUUCUUCUGAAGUCAUGGAUGACCCAAAUAGAUUAUUGCCAAUACUUCCACCAGUGCAAGCAGAGAAAACCCUUAGAGAAUAUUUUUCACCACUUGCAGCCAACCAACCAUCUUGUAUUGUGUUGCCACAAACUACAGCAACACACUUUGAACUUUUUGAACUUAAGCCCUCAGUCAUCCAACUUUUACCAUCUUUCCAUGGGUUAGAGAGAGAGGAUCCAUAUUUGCACAUUAAGGAAUUUCUUGACAUAUGCUCUACAUUCCGUUUUCAAAAUUUUAAUGAUGAGUUAAUCAGGCUUCGUAUGUUAUCUUUCUCAUUAAAAGACAAAGCAAAAGCUUGGUUGAAUUCGCUUUCUGCUGGGUCUAUAACUACGUGGGAUGAAUUGAAUAAUAAGUUCCUCACCAAGUUUUUCCCUAUGUCUAAAACAAAUGCCCUUAGGAGAGAGAUAAGUGAUUUCUAUUAAAGAGAGGGUGAGCAAUUUUAUGAGUGUUGGGAAAGAUUCAAUGAUUUACUCCUCAAGUGCCCCCACCAUGGUUUUGAGAAAUGGAGACUUAUACAAUGCUUUUAUAACGGUUUAACCAUGUCGAAUCGUCAUAUGGUAGAGUCUAUGAAUGGUGGGAGAUUUUUGAACCUACAUGAAGGGGCUGCAUGGGAUUUCUUUAAUUCACUUUCUGAGAAUUCUCAACAGUGAGAUUUUUCAAGCCAAAGGGAAAAAUCAUCUCAAGUUUCUAGAAAGGGGUUAUAUGAAGUUAAGGAUGAUUUUGAUGUGAAAUCCACUCUAAUUACACUUUCUAGAAAAGUAGAUGCCUUAGCUCUGAACCAAUCAAUGAAUCAUCAUCCUAGUGUAGCUAAUGAGGUUUGUGCUAUUUGUUCUAACUUGUCUCAAACAGCACAAAACUGUCCAUCAUUACCAGUCUAUCCAGAGGCUUAUUCUGAGCAGGUACAUGCCUUACAAUCAUAUGAGAAAACCUCCAAUAAUACAUAUUCACUCACAUAUAAUCCUAAUUGGAGGAAUCACCCUAAUUUUUCUUGGAAACAAAAUCAAUCUUUGUCAAACCAAGGAGGACAACAAUUUAACAUGCCCAAUCAACAAUUUGUCCCUCCUAACCAAGUAUAUCCUCCUGCCCAACAACCUAUAUCUCAAUUUGUUACACCCCAACAAAGAAAACCUUCUUUAGAGGAUACACUUCAAAGUUUCAUUCAGUCAACCUAAUAAGCUUUUCAGUCAAACACUCAAGCUAUUCUAAAGCUUGAACAUCAAUUGGGUCAAUUAGCAACUACUGUAGCGGAGAAAGAAAAAAGAAAAUUCCCCAGUCAAUCAAUUCCUAAUCCUAAAGGAGUGCAUGAAGUUGGAUCGAGUUCAAGCCAUCAGCAUGAAGAAGCAAAAUCAAUUAUGACCUUGAGAAGAGGAAAAUUGUUUGACAACAAAGUGGAGGUUCAAACAAAGAAGACAUCUGAGCCUACUUCUUCAGAUCCAAUUACAUCACAAGAAUCAUCACCAAAUGAUCUUGAAGAGAGUGACCCGCUAGCUUACAUUCCCAAGGCUCAUUUUCCUCAAAGGUUAACAAAGGUAAAGAAAGGGACUUCAACAUGUGAGAUUAUAGAAAUCUUCAAGCAGGUAAGUAUAAACAUCCAUUUACUCGAUGCUAUUAAGCAAGUUCCUUCCUAUGCCAAGUUUUUGAAAGAUUUAUGCACUAAAAAGAGAAAUUUGCAUGUCACUAAAAAGGCGUUUUUAACUGAACAAACUAGCAAUUUACUUCAAUGUAAAAUGCCACCAAAAUUUAAGGAUCCUGGUUCUCCUACUAUUUCAUGUGUUAUAGGGAACCAAUGUUUUGAUAAAGCAUUAUUGGAUUUAGGUGCUAGUGUUAAUCUCUUACCUUAUUCCAUUUACAUGCAGCUUGGACUAGGUGAGUUAAAAUCAACUCCUAUUAUUUUGCAACUUGCUGAUAGGUCAAUGAAAAUACCUCGUGGUAUUAUAGAGGAUGUGUUGAUACAGAUUGACAAAUUUUAUUAUCCUGUUGAUUUUAUUGUUAUUGAUACUCAACAUGUACAUGAUCUUAAGAAACACACUCCACUUAUUCUUGGUCGUCCUUUCUUAGCUACAGCUGAUGCUCAUAUUAGUUGCAGGACUUGAAACAUGCAAUUGUCUUUUGGUAACAUGACCAUGGAAUUAAAUAUUUUUAAUGUUCCCAAGCAGGCACAAGAAGAUGAUGAAGUCGUUGAAGUAGAUAUGAUAGAAGCAUCAAUUGAUGACUCACUUAUUUCUAACCAUUGUGACAAUCCAUUAAUACCUUGCACAACUGACUCUGAUUUCUCUAUUGAUGUUGAUAGUGAUAUUGAAGAAGUUAAUGCUUUACUUGAUUCGACUCUUAUCAUAGAUCUAAUUAAGUGGAAAGAAAAGAUAAGAUUGAGCCACUUCCUCCUGAAGAGAAAAGUGCAACAUAGGUCACAUUCUGACAUAAAAAAGGUGGUAAGAUCUAAAACGCUUAAAUUAUUAGAUUUUUAUACUACUUUAGAUAACUCUCAGGAAAGCUUAGAACAGAAGAGAUCAAAGCAAUGCGAUAUUGAGGAGUUUCAUUACCAUCAUCCUUUUAUGGAUAAAAUGCUCCAGUGCUUAAUCAAUUAUGCUUUUUGGUAUUUUCUAUAUAAUUGCUUUAAUUUUCACCAAAUUCUUAUUGAUCCUGGUUGAUUUGUUGUUUACAUUAAUUAGUUAGUUAGUCGGAUUUUUUUAUUAUUAUUUAUAUUUCUUCUAACGUUUUCUUUUGAGUUGUCAUUCUUUUAAGUUUUCCUAGCUCAGUCAGGUGUGUUCUCUCCAACUUUCUCUUUUAUUAUUUAUGUUUUUAUUUUUCAUCUUUUUGCGUGCAUAUCUUUUAUUUAUGACACAUUGAGGACAAUGUUCCGAAUAAGUUUGGGGGUGGGAAUAAUGUUGCUUUGUUUGUUAAAAAAAACUAAAAAAAAAUUUCAAAAAUUCAAAAAAAAAUUGUGUUUUUUUUGUUUUUACGUGAAAAGCCAAUGAUAAAAACUUGAUUGACAAUGAAUAUGGUUUUUAGAAAGGGUUUAAUAUUGUCUUAAUUUAUACUUGAUUCUUAUGUUAGUUCCUCUUGAUUGAGAUUCUUUAAAAUAUAAGCACUAAUAUCAAUUCUUUCAUAAUUUUGACUUGAAAUUUGAGAUUGACGCAGCCUGAGUUGAGAAUUUUAGAUAGAGUAAAUGACUGUUUGUCUUUAUUCUUAUCUCCACAAUACAAAAUAGUAUACACAGGCACCAAAGUCAGAAAUAACUACCUAUAAUCCUUAAGAGUGAAGCUAUCCUUGAGUAAUUUAGGCCUAUGUACCACAAGUAUGUAGAGGAUAAUCUACCAUGAGAAGAAUGCUACCUUAAGGGGUAGAGUGAAAGCUCCUGACUAUGGUUAAAAAAAAAAGAAGAAGAAAAAGAGAAAGAAAAAAUCAAAUCAAGUGCAUGUGCUGAAAAAAAAAUCAAAAGAAAAUGCACAUAAAAGCCUGUGAAAAAAAAAUUGGAGAUUAAGAUGAUAAGAUUAGCUUGACCUACUCUUUUCUUUUUUUGAGGCGAAGGUUGUUGAUAUUGAAGAUUUUAGGAAUGAAUUUGAUUGAAUUGAUUUCACACACACACAACAAGAAUCGAAAGAGAGAUGGGAUUGAUUAUUGAAUUAAAGUUAGAACUUUGCCAAUAUUUGAAAUUUUGUUUGAGCUAUAUAAUUUAUGCAAUCUUUGAGGGUAUUUUCAUAUUUUAUUUAAAGUUUUUUUUUCUUUUUAUUUUAUUUUAUUUAUUUUUUAUUUUUUUAAAAUGAUGUUUGUGGGUGUCAUCACUGAAGCUCUCACGAGACUAUAACUCGUCCACUAGGGGUUUAAAGGCUUGUUGCAUACGCUAAAUGCAAUCGCGAUUACCUGCGAAAAUGGUUUAGUUAGGAUUUACUUUUUGUUUUGUUAUUUUUUUUUUUUUUUUUAGUUUUAGCUUUGCUCGAGGACUAGCAAAAUCUAAGUUUGGGGGUAUUUGAUGAGCAUAAUUUAUAUACAUAUUUUACCUUUAAUUAUAUAAUUAUUAGUUAUCUUUAUUAGUUAUUUUUAAUUAAUUGAAUUAUUUUAUUGCAUAGGGAAUUAAUUGGAGAUUGGGAAACAAAAAGUGCAUAAAGAAUAACAAGUUUGGGAAAGCAUCAAUCAAAGCCAUGACACAAUUAAGAGUUUAUAGCAUAUGAAGGCAAGAGUAAUUUGCACUAAAAAAGAAUUUCAAUUAUUCAAGUGAUCUGGACGUGCAUAGUAUUGUAAUGCAUGGAAAGCAACUUAAAGGGGCCCACACUUGGCUUUUACAAUUGGAAAAAGGAAUCCUAGUGCAAGCUUAAUUGGUGAGCACGUGAGUGAGAGCAAAGAAAAUUAAAAGGCCAAGCCUUUUGGCUUAAGGAAAUAACAAGGUCGGUGGGGCCCAUUUUAAAGAGUAAUAUAAAAGCAAGCUUUUGGCUUUUGGAGAGAGAAGCCGCCAGAGGAGGAAAACGCGAGACAAAGAGAAGAAAAUAUGCCGCAGUUCGACUUCUAUGGUUGGUUUUAUCUCUUUUGUUACUCUUAAUUCAAGUAUGUCUAGCUAAUUUUCUUAUAUUGAAGUUAAGGAUGAAAUCAUAUUCAAUGAAAUAAUUAUCUUUUUAUUUAUUUAAUUCCCAUAUAUGUUCUUUAAUGAUUAUGAUUUUUAUUUCACAUGAUUAAUUGGAUGUUAUUAAAAUCUUUUCAUCAAUUCUGUCAUAUAUUAUUGAUUGUUAUGAUUAAUAUUAAAUUAAAUCUAUACUUGGAUUUAUAAAGUUUAUACAUGAUUAUCUUUGAUUCUAUGUCUUUCAUUAAAUUGUUUACAUGGAGUGCCUAGGAAAACUUUGACUCUUUGUUAUUCAAUAUGUUCACAUGGGAUACUUAGAUGUCGUACUAUUAAGCGGAAAAAGAACCUAUAUUAGAUUUAAUUAUUUGGGCUUAAUUGUUAUAUCCAUGAGAUGACAUAGAUUGAUUUCGAGUUGUCACUCUAAAAUUGGGGAUUAAUGAAUAUUUAGAUAAUUACUAGUUGAAUAGUGGUGGAUUCUGAAACCUUGGUAAUUUCUAUCUUAUUGAAUUCUCCUUUACUUUAAUUGUUUUCUUAGUUUAAUUAGUUUAAUUUCUCUUAAAACUCAAUUCGCUCAACUAGGUUAGAAUUAAUAUUAAUUUUAGAUUUAAAUUAGACUUUUCAAUUUAUAACAAUCCCUGUGGGAUCGACCUCGUUACCACUACUCUAUUUCUAGAUUCGUGCGCUUGCGAGUAUAUUAAAAUUUUCACAACAUUCGGCACUCUCACUCCUUAAGAGAGGUCAGGGGUUCAAGCCUCGCUCUCGUAUGGAGUCACCACUUUGACCAGCACUUUACCCCUUACAGACCGACCCGGUGCGAGCAUGAAUUAGUCUGGGUUGUGGUACGGGCUUAAAGGUGCCUCCCACAAUUGAGACCCACUCAGGACCACCUCGUGGUUCGGACAAAAAAAAAAUUGAAAUAAAUUAUCUCAAAAUAAUUACUAACCAGAAAAAACAAAGGGGUUUAACUAGGUUAUGCAUACCUUUGAAAAUUAUAUGUUGAUCGAUAAGCAUGAUGAUCACGAUUGAGGAGUUUAAUUAAAAUUUAUAAGAUUUUAAAAUUAAUCAGGGUUAAAUUCUAAAUUUUAGAAAGAGAGGUUUUGUGAGAAUGCUGAAAGGGUGUUAAUAGUUCCACUCUUUUUUAAAAAAACCAUAGUCAUCAUUUUUCCCGAUUUCUUCUUCCCAUCUCCAUCUUAUUUAGAAAUUUCCCAGAGCCUUUGUUUCCCACCAUUCAUUUUUCUUCUUUCUAAUUUAAGAUUAUAGUAUUAUAAAAAUAAUUACUCACAUUUUAUCAAACACCUCCAUUAUACCAAGGCCUUGUUUUAGUAGUAGGCUUUUAUUAUCUCAAUAAAAUUGAAAAAACAAAGCUCAAUAAUAUUGGAAAAAAAACCUACCCAUAUUUGUAACUUUAAUUUAUUAUUCUCCAUAGACCUACUUUUUAGCUUUGAAUUUUGUUGGAGCCAUAUAUAAACAGAAUAUGUUGAAAUCAGCACAAAAAAAAAACUAAUUAUAUAAUUUUUGUUCCCAAGGACACGACUGUGUGAUUUUUAAGAAGUUUUGUUUGGCUGGCCACUUAGGUUUAAAUCUUGGUGGAGAUUAGGGGUUAAGAAAUAAAUUUGGACUUUGCACACCCCUUUAACUUUUAAAAAGAAUGAAAAAAACUAAUUAAUUAAUCUUUAUUUUAUUUAUUAAAUGUCAUAAUCAUAUGCAUAUUUUAUUUGUUAUCUUUCUAUUUAAAAGAUAGGAGGGCAAAUAAAACUGAAAUAAAUGUUUAUCCCUAUCUCCAUCUUUCAAGUUCCAUAGUUAGGUGACCAGCUAAAGAAAAUUAAUUGAAAGUUACUCCAUCAAAUUAAAAAAAAUUAUUUAUUUAAUUUGUGGAGAUGUAGAAAAUCAAACCCCAUACCUUUUCGCAUGCAAAAGUGUCAACCUGGUCUAGCUAUGUUGCAACAGUAAACAUAUUUUAAUACAUGACUAUCAUCUUUUAUCCUAAAUACUACUAUAACUAUGGGUUCAGUUAUGCUGUAACUGUGGUAUGGUACCACAGUUGUUUUCAACCAUUAAAUUCAACUUAUAUAACUAUGCAACUGUAGAUCUAACGGCUGAAAGCAACUAUGGUACCAUACCACAGUUGCAACAUAGUUUUGCCCCUAUAACUCAUAACAUUCAAUUGAAAUAAUAAAUGUUAACACUUGGCUAUAAAUAAAGGUUUUGUACUUGAAUCUUCAUGCAUGACCUUCAUUCCUUUAUUGACUUUGCUAACACAGAUUUUGAGGCAUUAAAACUAAAUAAUAAUUGACUUUGUGGGCCGAGGAUGCCAGCAACAAGGAGACCACAAUUAUCACUAGUUAAGUUACUCUAAUUGCCGUUGUCUUAUAUUCAUAAAAUAUUAGUAAUAAGAUUAUUGUAGAAUUUUUUUAUAUUAAAAUUAAGUCAAUUUGUUAUAACAAAUUUAGUUGAGUUUAAUCGUGUUACUACAUACAUUGAAUAAUAAUAGAAUUCUCGACAAAUAUUUCAAUAUUUUUAUCCCAAGCGUUGGAGUGGCAUUUAUUUGUUAGACAAUCGAUUUUAGAACUUAUAAAAUUAUUCGUUACUGAAUUGCACCAUAUGCUGCAUGACCUGAAACUUAAUAAACGGAACGUAGCGUUGGCAACAUUCACUGUCAUGACUUUGUGACAUUAGAAUUAAAUUUUUUUGCACAUUUAAUUUGUUUACUUCCAAAUUAAUAUUUAACAAAAUAUUUUUUCACAUUAUCAAUGGACAAAACUCCAACGAAAAUAACUAUACAAUAUAUGCUAGUAUUGUAUGCCAUAUCAUCUGUAAUUUUGUCAGGAUCGAUCAUUUUAAUUUUUAAGCAAAACUUUUUAUCAAUGGACAAACACCUCACACAGCUUGUCAGAGGCAUUAUUAUGAUGGAAAACUGAUAAACAGUGAACUCGAAACUCAAUUACUACAAGUCGUUUAGAGGAUUCAGUCUUGGAUGACUUGUCACUUGUGGAAUUCUUGAAGCCAGAACCGACAUAAUCUCAGUCGUCAUUCUGUCUUAAGUAAUACACAUGGUUUGCAUGUGUGUUGAAGCUGACUCUUUGCUUGGAUCAAGAAACGACGUCUUUGAGUGCCGUUUCUUAAACACACUUUAAAUCAGCUUGUGUCAAGCACGUGAGGUAGAGCUUUUUGAAUAGAUUUGGCGGGAAUGGUAGUUAGUGUAACAACCCAGAAAUAGAGGUUAAAAGGUGAAGGCUUUGUCAUCAUCUACACAUGAUUUGGGAAACAUUGAGAGUAGAGAAAAAGAUAGAGAGAGAAAGGGGUUAACAAGUUCUUGUUCUCUGUAAAUCGAUUUAUAUUCUUGUAAAGUUUGUGAUCUCAAUUAGUGAAAGACUGUUGCUUUGUUUCCAGUGGAUGUAGGCACCACUUCUUGGUGCUGAACCACUUAUACUUGGUGUCAUAUUGUUUCUUUAAUGCUUUGAUUCUUGCGUGUGAUUGUUGCUGGAUAAUCUGUGCUGUUAAUUCUCAAACCAUUGAUACAGAAUUAAUGUCUUGGGGAGAAUUUGGUUAGUCUUAUCAAAGCCGAAUUCACAACAAAUUGGUAUCAGAGCCCUCUUUUCUGUAUCAAGGUUCAAGAAAUGACUAACAAGGUGGAUCUUGAGAAGUUCAAUGGUCAGAAUGAUUUCAAUAUGUGGAGGAUCAAGAUGGAAGCAUUGUUAAUCACACAAGGUCUGGGAGAUGCCAUUGAUCCAGUCAUUAAGAGUGAAAAUGCAGAAGCCUAUUCUUCAAGAACUCCAGAACAGAUGGCUAAGAUUGAAAAAAAGGCAAGAAGCACCAUCAUCCUCAGUCUUGGUGACUUAGUGAUAAGGGAAGUUGCCAAGAAAAAGACUGUUGCUAGGCUCUGGGCAAAACUGGAACAAUUGUAUAUGACAAAGUCCUUAGCAAACAGGCUAUACAUCAAGAAAAAGAUGUUCUCACUGAGGAUGAUUGAAGGAGCAUCACUUGAUGAACACAUAGAUGAGUUUAAUAAAGUUUGUGAUGAACUGGAAACAAUUGAUGAAGGACUGAGUGAUGAGAGCAAGGCUUUGCUGUUAAUCAGUUCUUCACCAAAAUCAUAUGAACAUUUUGUGGAUGCCUUGUUAUAUGGAAGGCAAUCACUCUCCUUGGAAGAGGUUAAAUCUACUCUUGGUACCAAGAAGUUAAAAGAAAAACAAGAUAACUCAGAGAGUGAAUCAAGUGAAGGGCUGAUGGCAAGGGGCAGAUCUGAAAAAAAGGAGUACAAAGGAAAAAAACAAGGGAGAUCAAAGUCAAAGCAGAAACAUUUGAAGUGUUUUCACUGCCACAAAGAAGGGCAUUUCAAGAGGGAUUGCCCUGAGAGAAAAACAAAGCAAAAGGAAUCAAAAGACAAAUCUGGAAAUACAGCAAUAGCCACAGAAGAAACCAGUUUUGAGAUAGCUGAAGUCCUCAUUGCCACAAAAGAAAAAAACUCAAGGUCAGUGGGUACUAGACUCUGGAUGUACUUUUCAUAUGAGUCCAAAUAGAAAUUACUUUACUACAUAUCAGUCCUGUGAUGGGGGUAUGGUGCUGAUGGGAAAUAAUUCAGUUUGUAAAGCAGUUGGGAUUGGGACUGUAAGCCUUAAGAUGUAUGAUGGCAUGGUUAGAGAACUAACUCAGUUUAGGCAUGUUCCUGAGCUUAAAAGGAACCUAAUAUCUAUUGGCAUGCUUGAUCAAACUGGAUGUGUCAAUAAGGCUGAAAAUGGGUCAUUGAAAGUUAUCAGAGGCUCAAUAGUCAUAAUGAAAAGUUCCAAGCAAAAUGGUUUGUAUGUGUUGAAUGGACAUACAACUGUUGGAGAGGCAAGUGUCACUGAGAAGAGUGAAGACAAAGCAAGACUAUGGCACUUGAGGUUGGGGCAUAUGAGUGAAAGGGGAUUGAAGGAGCUUCAAAAGAAUGGGGUGUUUGGAAGUGACAAGCUAAGUUCUUUGGGGUUCUGUGAAGACUGUAUCCUAGGGAAGGCUUCCAAUCUCAAGUUUGAAUCUGCAGUUCAUUCUACCAAAGAGAAGCUUGCAUAUAUACACUCUGAUAUGUGGGGGCCUGCACAGGUAAAUUCUCUUGGUGGCUUUAAGUAUUUCUUAUCCUUAAUAGAUGACUAUUCAAGGAUGGUUUGGGUGUAUGUACUCAAAACCAAAGAUGAAGCUUUGGAAAAGUUUUAGAGGUGGAAAAUUCUGGUAGAAACACAGACAAGUUUGAAAGUAAAAGCUCUAAGAACAGAUAAUGAAUUGGAAUUCUGCAACAAAGAGUUUGGAGACUUUUGUAAAAGACAUGAGAUUAUGAGGCACAAAACAGUCAUACACACACCUCAGCAAAAUGGUUUUGCUGAGAGAAUGAACAGAACCUUAAUGGACAAGGUGAGGUGUAUACUGCUAUACUCAAAGCUGCCUAAGUCACUCUGGGCAGAGGCCUUAAACACAGCAUGUUACUUGGUAAAUAUAAGUCCAUCUACAGCAAUAGAAUGCAAAACACCUAUCGAGCUAUGGUCUGGAAGGGUUGCAGAUUACUUUAAACUGAGAAUCUUUGGAUGUGUUGCUUAUGCAUAUGUCAAACAAGGCAAAUUGGAGCCAAGAGCUUUAAGGUGUAGAUUUCUAGGAUACCCUGAUGGAGUUAAAGGCUAUAGGCUAUGGUGCAUUGAUUUGAAGCCACCAAAAUGCAUUAUCAGCAGGGAUGUAACUUUCAAUGAGUCAGAAAUCUUGAACAAAUCCAAAACCACUUAAUCCAAAGAUCAUAUAUCAGAAACAAGACCUGGGAGUGUUCAGUUUGAGGUGGAGUCCUAUGAACAAGAUAGGACUGAAUCAGAAACUGAAGGAGAUUCAGGAAGGGUUACUGAUGGAUUUGAUGUUGUUCAGGAGUCAGAGCCAGCUGAGAAUGAAGAUAAUUCUUAUCAGUUGGUCAGGGAUAGAAAGAAGAGAGCUGUAAGACCACCUAAGAGGUAUACAAUAGCAGAUUUCAUAGCUUAUACAUUAACAGUUGCACAAGAGGUAAAUGAGGAAGAGCUAAGAACCUAUAAAGAAGCUAUAAACAGCAUGGAUAAGAUGAAAUGGAAGGAGGCUAUGGAUGAGGAAAUUGAAUCACUAAUGAAAAAUGGAACUUGGAAGCUGAUAGUUAGACUAGAAAAAAGGAAGACUGUUAGCUGCAAAUGGAUCUUCAAAGUUAAGGAAGGUAUAUCUGAUGCUGAACCUAGUAGGUUUAAAGCUAGGCUGGUAGCAAGAGGCUUCACACAAAGAGAGGGGAUUGAUUUCCAUGAAAUCUUCUCUCUAGUUGUGAAACAUGCCUCCAUCAGAGUCAUCUUAGCUUUAGUUGCCAUUCAAGACAUGUACCUGGAGCAUAUGGAUGUUAAAACAGCCUUCCUGCAUGGUGAAUUACAAGAAGAAAUUGUAAUGGAACAGCCUGGGGGGUAUGUGGUGUCUAGUAAGGAAAAUCAUGUGUGCUUACUAAAGAAAUAUUUAUAUGGAUUAAAGCAGUCUCCUAGGCAAUGGUACUUGAAGUUUGAUAGUUUUAUGACAAAACAUGCCUACAAGAAAUGCAAUUAUGAUUGUUGCGUGUACUUUAGGGACAUUGGUGAUGGAAAGAUGAUUUAUCUUAUGCUGUAUAUGGAUGACAUGCUUAUAGCAUGUCACAGCAUAGAUGAAAUCAGUCAUUUAAAGAAUCUCUUGAGCAGUGAAUUCGAUAUGAAAGAUCUUGGAGCUGUAAGGAAGAUCUUAGGUAUGGAAAUUAUCAGAGACAGGAGAAGGAAGCUUAUGUUUUUAACCCAACAGAGCUAUGUUAAGAAGGUGUUGCUUAGAUUUGGGAUGCAUGAAUCCAAGUCUGUUCAAACACCUUUGGCAAAUCACUUCAAGCUGUCUGCUGCACAUUGUCCACAAACUGAUGCAGAGCAAGGAAAAAUGGCAAGGAUACCUUACUCCAGUGCAGUUGGGAGCCUCAUGUAUGCCAUGGUUCUCACUAGACAUGAUAUCUCACAUGCUGUGAGUAUAGUGAGUAGAUUCAUGGCAAAUCCAGGUUAUGAGCAUUGGAGGGCAGUCCAGUGGAUAAUGAGGUACCUGAAAGGCACUAUGGAGUUUGGUCUGCUAUAUGGAGGGUUAAAACAGGAAGGGCACAAGCUGGUGGGGUAUGUUGACUCAGACUUCGCUGGAGAUCUUGAUAAAAGGAGGUCUCAGACAUGUUUUAUAUUCACUUUGGGAGGCUGCACUGUGAACUGGAAAGCUACUCUGCAAAGUGUGGUAGCUUUGUCCACAACUGAAGCCGAAUAUACAGCAGCUGCAGAAGCUUUUAAGGAAGUCAUCUGGUUAAAAGGAAUGGUCUCAGAGUUAGGAGCAAAACAAGAAACAGUUGAAGUAUACUGUGAUAGCCAGAGUGCAAUACAUUUGAGUAAAAACCAGACCCAUCAUGAAGGAACAAAACAUAUUGAUGUAAAGCUUCAUUUUGUAAGACUUGAAGUUUCAAAGGGAACUGUGAAGAUGCUCGAGGUUCACACUGAUCAAAAUCCAACCGAUAUGUUGACUAAAGCUGUGCCUUCUGCCAAGCUCAACUUCUGUUUGAGCUUAGCAGGAAUUUGCAGUUUCUGAUCAGCUGCAAAAGAAAGGGAAUAAAGUAUACAGGAGUAGCUAGAGUUCAGAGUUCACACUGAUUAAAAGGUGCAGGCUUUGUCAUCGUCUACACAUGAUUUGGGAAACACAGAGAGUAGAGAAAAAGAUAGAGAGAGAAAGGGGUUAACAAGUUCUUGUUCUCUGUAAAUCGAUUUCUAUUCUUGUAAAGUUUGUGAUCUCAAUUAGUGAAAGAUUGUUGCUUUGUUUCCAGUGGAUGUAGGCACCACUUCUUGGUGCUGAACCACUUAUGCUUGGUGUCAUAUUGUUUCUUUAAUGCUUUGAUUCUUGCGUGUGAUUGUUGCUGGAUAAUCUGUGCUGUUAAUUCUCAAACCAUUGAUACAGAAUUAAUGUCUUGGGGAGAAUUUGGUUAGUCUUAUCAAAGCCGAAUUCACAACAAAAACUGUAAUGGUAUAUCUUGAAUUAUUGGUAGAAUAGUUCUUUGGAGCAAUAAAAACAGAUAAGACAGAUGAGAAAAUUGUCAAUACCCCACCGCAAAAGCAAAAGAAAACAAGGAAAGGAGACAAAAGAGGAAGAAGAAAAAGAAAAAAGAACGAAGAAAAAAAUGGUGCCGUGCGGUAUAGGCAAGAAGAAAAAAUAAUAAAAAAUAAUAAAAUAAUAGUGCACAACAAUCAUUUGAUUGCUAUAAAUAAAAGGCGUUUCCCUCAUUUUAUUCAUCGAAUUCUUCAGUUCCUUUCAAGCGAUUUAAGAGUCUAGUGAUUUGAGAGUUUGGGUGUAGUAUGAUUUUGGGUAGUGAGCUAAAAUACUACAAUACUUGUAACUCAUUUUUAUUAGUAAAAUAUUUUCCUUCUGACUUCGCCCGUGGACGUAUGCUAAAAGCCGAAUCACGUAAUUUCUGGUGUCCCUAUGUGAUUAUGUGUCUCAUUAUUUCUUAAUUUCACUUUAGUUGCGUGUCUGCGACACCCCUCAAUUUAUUAACAAAAAAUGGCCAAAAUUAUAUAAGUGACCCAAAUUUUUUUGUUAUUUCCAAGAAAUCCCCAAUCUGAAUGGGCUAGACCAGAGGGAGGCAAGUUAGAAAUACAUUUCCUUCAUAGACAAUAACAGUGAUGAGUCGAUGACAUCAAGCCACGUCGGUAUCAAUAUUGAAUUAAAGGUGCAAUUAUUCAGCCAAUGAACCUUACACAUCAAGAUAAAAGUCAAGAAAAUGAAAAUUUAUCCCAAUUAAAACACUUUCUGGCUGCAUUUAGUUGUUUCCAUUAGAAGUUAAAAACAACGUUUCUUUCGUUUUGUGGGCAACUCAACUGAGUUAGCUGGCUUCUAGUGCUAGUAUGUGAAAAUAGAAGGCUAAUGAUUUAUUUAUUAUCUUUUGACAAAAUUAUUAAAGAUAUAAUAGAUUUUCUAUGAUACAAGUGAAAAAUCACAUCAACAUAGCUUUCAAUCUACAGCAGCUAGCGUUUACCAAACACUUUGUUGUAGCUUUUAAGCUAUAGCUGCCCAACCUCAAUCUCAAACGCACCCUUAAUAGGUUGAUUGAAUUUGUGAGAUAUGGAUUCCACAUAUCUCAUGACCUAGUAAUUAUACAAGUGGUUCGUGAUCAAGACACAACAUUUGCUUCCGGCCUAGUGACCCAGCAAUCGCUGCACUGGUCGCCACCUAUGGUGCCGACGAUAUUGCAUGGUCCAAUUGUGGCCUUGAAUGGAAAAAGUUGAGCAAAUUAUUUGUGGACACGAUGAUAAGUAACGCAAGCCUUGAUGCUAGUUAUGGUCAAAGAAAACAAGAGGUUAAGAAUACUAUCAGAGAUAUUCAUAACAACAAAAAGGAAAAAAAAAAGGCAUUUGCAAGCCCAUUGAUAUUGGUGAAUUGUCGAUUUCAACUUUGGCAUGUGUAAUCCAGAACCUGCGCGCUGUGGUAUGGCGCUGGCACGCUUGCAUUAACGAGGGGACAAGUCUUGGGGCUGAGCUAACAUUUAAGCUCGCAGAACUCAUGGUGCUAAUGGGAACACCAAAUAUUUUUUUGACAUAUUUUGGUGCUUUCAUGGUUUAAUUCAAGGUAUAGAAAGGAGUGUUGAGAAUGUCAAAUAAAACGGCAUUGAAUGGAAGUUGUCAAAGACACGAUCCGCACCGAACGGCAACGACACGGUUGCUAAAAAUCCUUCCAUAAUAUGCAUAUCUAAUUUUUUAAAAAGUGUAACCUCUGCAUUUAUAAAUAUACUCAAUGUAUAAUGUUUUACUUAAGAAAUGAAAAACUUGUUUGUUCAAGGAGAAUAAAGAAAAUUUUUCUAUGAUUUUUUUAUGGUUUGAACAAAGAAGGUUUUAAUGAGUAUUAUAGACCUCGAUUGAAUGUUCGAAUGUAUAAUAAAAGAGAAACUGUCACAUAAAUGACAAAGAUACUUGGAAAAAAAAAAAGGGCAGCAAUAGAGAAUUAGAUUCGACUGCACAAAUAACUAGUUAAUUCAUCAAUACAUCAUUUUCUUGCUAGAAAAUGACAAUUAUGACAGCAAGCCACGAUAGUGUCAAUAUUGAAAUUGAUUUGCAAUUAUUCAGCCAAUGUGCCUUACACGUCAAGAUAAAAGUCAAGAAAAUGAAAGUUAAUAUCAAUUAAAACACUUCCUGGGCCGCAUUUAGCUCCAGUUUUUGUGGUAGGAAAACAAAGUUUUGUUUUAAAUUCACAUGGUGUGCACUUCCUAUAUAAAUCUAGAGUUGUGUCCCACGUUGAACAAUAAAGGAAAGUCACCUAAAUAUACAUGUAGGAUAAGUUACUUUAUUUAGUAAGUUUGUAUUUUCUUCUUUCUUCUAGUUUACAUAUAAAUUUGAUUAGAUAACUUAACACAUAUUUUAAUACUUGAUCAGAAGCCCUACGUACAGGUGGAUCUAGAAACUUGAUUUCUAAGAGUAAUACUAUAAUAAAAAAAUAAUGAUUCAUAGAACCAAUAUCAAAAUUUGUUUACAAGAUUACCCCCACUCAAAGGUAAUUUUCAUAGAAAUUAAUAGGAAAUUUAAUUGUUAGUGGGGUCAAAUUGCCCCCACACUCUGAAUGUAGAUCCACGCCCGACCCUGAGUCAAGUAUAUUUUGCCACAUAUACUCUGAAUGUCGGCAGGAAAAAUCUUCCACUUUAGUUUAAAAUUUUCACUUAAAAUUUAUUUACGUUAAUAAAGUUGGUAAAGGAAAUGAGUUUAAUUAAAGAAUAUUAUAGGAGAAAUUCUAUUGUUUGGCUUUUAAUAAAUUAAUUAAUAGGUUUAAAAAGAUUAAUAUACAUCAAAAUAUUAUUAGUUGGUGGUGGUUCCACAUCGGACUAAGACGUGGCACCUUACUUGUGAGAUUAAGACAAUCAGGCUUAGACUAUUUAAAUAUGUUUGAAGCUUAGAUGGCACCGCUUCAAUUUGCAUUAAUGAAUGUCAUUCUUUACCCUAAUUACUACGUAAUUGAUAACAUGCAAUUGAAAUAACUAAUAUUAGCACUUGGCUAUAAAUGAACUAAAGGCCGUGCAAUUGAAUCUUUACUUGAUCACUUCAUUCCUUUAUUUUGCUAACACAGAUUUUGAGAUAUUAAAACGAAAUAAUAAUUGAAUCUGGCUUUGUGGGUCGAUGAUGCCAGCAACAACGAGACCACAAUUAUCACUUGUUUAUUUGCUGUAUUUGACGUUGUUUCAUAUUGGUAGUAAUAACUAAUAAGGUCGUUGUAGAGUUUUUAAUCUUUUUUUUUAUAUUAAUCACGAGGUAUCCUGGGGAGGGCCCCAACUGUGGGAGGCACCUUUAAGCUCGUACCACAACCCAGACUAGAAGUCCCCGCUCGAACCGGGAGGCACAGUUUUUAAUCUUUUUUAUAUUAAAGUUAAGUCAAUUUGUUAUAAAUAAAUAAAAAAUUGGUUGAGUUUAAUUAUAUUGCUAUGUACAUUAAAUAAUUAUAAUAUUCUCGAGGGAAAAAGACACCUAGAACCUCAAGGUUUGGGGAAAUGGUCACAAAAACUCCUAAGUUUUAAAAAAGGAACACUAAAAUCUUUUUUUACCCAUAAUACCCUUUGACUAUAGUAAUUAGAAAAUUGACUUUAAAGGUUUUUAAAUAAUACAAAUUUAAUAUAAAUCAUAUAAUCUAUCUAGUACACUAAUAAUAUUAAAUUAUUUUUUAUAUUUAAAAUAAUGUUAAAAAAUUUAAAUUAUUAUAUUUAUUUUAAUAAUAUAUUUAUAAAAUUAUAAAGAUUUUAAAUAAAUCUUUGGAUUGAAUAUAUUUUACAAUUAAAAGUCUUCCUAUUAAUAAUAUUAAAAUUAAAUUUUAAGUAAUAUAUAUUCAAAAUAUUUUUAAUUUAAUUUUAUUUAUUUUAAUAUUAUGUUUCUAUCUAUUAUUAAAAAUUACUUUAAUAUAAUAAAAUAGGUCUAAUAGAUUGAAAAAUAUGAAAAUAUUUUUAAAAUUUUAAAUUAUUUUGAAAUGUAUAUAUUAUUACAUUUAUUUCAAUGUCAUAUUUCCAUUUAUUAUAAAAUUUUGGGGUUAUUUUUUUGGGAAUUUAUAGAGUCAAAGAGCAUUAUGGUUAAAAAAGAGUCUUGGUGUCCCUUAUUGAAAACUUUAGAGUUUUUGUGACCAUUUUCCUAAAUCUUGGGGGUGUUGAAGUGGCACUUAUUGUAAGAUUGAUUUUAAAAUAUGUAAAAUUAAUUUUAUUACAUUACCAUAUGCUACAUCACCUGAAACUUAAUAAAUGGAACGUAGCAUUACUCCACGUUCACCGUUAUGACCUUAUGACAUUAGAAUUAAAAUCUUUCGUACGUUUAAAUUGUUUACUUCCAAAUUAAUCUUUCGUAAAUAUUUUGUACAGAUCUUAUCGGAGUUAGCGUGUUCAUUACAGUGUUUCUUUUCUUUUAUCCUUUCUUUUGAAACGUAUUUCCUGUGGACAAGGAAAGCAAAUAAUACCCUGCCACCAGGACCUCGCGGCUUGCCUGUAAUCGGAUACCUUCCAUUUCUCGGAAUUACUGACUUACACAAGACAUUCACGGAAUUAGCUGGUCUAUAUGGCCCGAUCUUCAAACUCUGGCUUGGCAACAAAUUGUGUGUAGUGGUUAGCUCGCCUUCAACUAGUUCUAUAAGAAUAUCCCUUUUAAGGGAUUCUCUCUCUGCAAAAUUUUUUUAUCUUCUGGUGCAUAAUAAAAACUUAUGCCACUUCAUUAACCACAGAUAUCUUUUGAGGAAACGAUGUUUCGUUUUCUUUUGUUUUUUCCUUCCUAAUCCUCGCAUAUCGUGUGAAGGCUAAUAUAUCCAAGAAUCUAAAUCUCUGUAAAUCUUUUUCUAUCCAAAUCUACAUAAUAAUUUAAUCCAUGCACAAUAUCUAUAAUUAUAUCGGCUGUCGGCUGAUUUCGUGGAGGGGGCGGCAGUUCAAAUUUUUUACGUGCAUGUUGGAUGGACGUCUCUAUUAAAGGAGAGCCACCACUUGCAUGGUAAUUUUUUUAAAUAAAUAUAUACAUUUCAAAAUAUUAUUUCAUUGUUGUAUAGUUAACAUGUCACCUUAGAUGUAUUUUAGAACUUCUCCUAUUAAAGAUAAUCUCAUGCAGUGAUACUUCUCGUGAUCUAAUCAUUAGUAGAAUCUAUAAUUUCGCUACUGUAAUAAAAUCUGUCCCUACCCUAUAUGAAUGUAGAUAUUUGACGCGAUUUGUAAUUGCUUCCGACAGGAAAACAGCAAUAGUUUAAUUGAAAUUUGUGGUAUGGAUUCCACGAAUCUUAUGACAGAAUACUGACCACUCCAACCCUAUCCACAUUUACACGAUUAAAACACAAGCUUAGAUGUGACAAUGCAUUUGUCACUUUUGUUCAAAUUCAUCCUGAAACACUAUACACUAAAUAAUCGAAUAUGGCUUCGUGGGUCGAUGAUGCUAGCAGCAACGAGACUGCAAUUAUCACUUGUUUUGUUGCUGUACUUGUCGUGGUCUAUUUCGCAUGGAAUGUAAACAAAUCAAGUAAAGCAAAUGCUAAAUUGCCACCAGGAUCUCGGGGCUUGCCAGUAGUCGGAUACCUCCCAUUUCUUGGAACUACUGACUUACACAAGACAUUCACGGAGUUAGCUGGAGUUUAUGGUCCGAUCUUCAAGAUUUGGCUUGGGAAUAAAUUGUGUGUAGUGGUGAGCUCGCCUACCCUAGUUAAACAAGUGGUCCGUGAUCAAGAUAUAACAUUCUCAAACCGCGACCCACCGAUCGCUGGAACUGUGACCACCUACGGUGGCAAUGAUAUUGCACUUUCCAAUUAUGGUCCCGAAUGGAAAAAGUUGCGAAAAUUAUUUGUGAGCAAGAUGAUGAGUAAUGCAACCCUUGAUGCUUGUUAUGCUCUAAGAAAACAAGAGGUUAAAAAUACUAUCAGGGAUUUGUACAACAACAAUAAGGAUAAUAUUGGCAGUGGCAAUGGCAAGCCCAUUGACGUUGGUGAAUUGUCGAUUUCAACUUUGGUACGUGUUAUGCAGAACAUGCUGUGGGGUCAAGCAUUGGAAACAAGAGAGAAAGAGAUUACUAAUCUCGGGGCUAAUCUUGCAGAACUCAUGGUGCUACUGGGAACACCAAAUAUUUCGGAUAUUUUUCCAGUGCUUUCAUUGCUUGACAUGCAAGGUAUAGAGAGAAGAGCUAAGAAGAUUUCUCUAUGGUUUGAAAACAUUAUCAAUUCUGGUGUUGAACAGUAUAGAAACAAGUUUUCUGUUGUUAAAGGUGAAGAAGCUGCAGCAGGAAAAAAUAUUGAACGAUCAAGAAAUAAGGACUUCUUGCAGUUACUGUUGGAGCUUCAGGAAAAUGAAGAUAGUGCUUCAUCUAUUAGCAUGAACCAACUAAAGGCCGUGCUCGUGGUAUGUUAAGCAACUAGACACAAAAAGUUGUAAAAGCACAGUGAUAUAUUUGCGCGAGGCCGCGAGUGAUGUUUUGCCUCGAGAACUCUCAAUUUUAUCUUACGGUAAAAAAUGUUUUUCAACUUUUUUUAAUUAGAAUUUUAUUGCAAUUUAUUUAACAGGACAUAAUUGUGGCCGGAACCGACACCACAACUACGAUGGUGGAAUGGACAAUGGCAGAGUUGAUGCAACAUCCACAAGUAAUGAAGAAAGUUCAAGAAGAAUUAGCUCAAGUUGUGGGCAUGGACAGUUGUGUUGAAGAAUAUCACUUGCCUAAAUUAAAUUAUUUAGAUGCUGUGGUGAAAGAAACAUUUCGUUUGCAUCCUGCGUUGCCCUUAUUGGUACCUCGCACGGCAAGCGAGAACAGCAAUAUUGGUGGCUAUACCAUUCCCAACGACACUAAUUUUAUGUUGAAUGUUUGGGCUAUUCACAGGGAUCCUCAACUUUGGGAUAAUCCCUUAGAUUUUCGACCUGAGAGGUUCUUGAAUGAUGAUAUCAUAAGCAAAUUCAAUUACUCGGGUAACAAUUUUCAGUACUUGCCAUUUGGUUCUGGUAGAAGGAUGUGCGCUGGCAUUCCUCUAGCUGAGAGGAUGUUGAUGCUUGUUCUGGCUUCGUUGUUGCACUUGUUUGAGUGGAAAUUGCCCCCGGGCACAAAGCUAGACUUAGCUGAAAAGUAUGGGAUUGUCAUGCGGAAAAAAGAGCCUCUGAUUGCUAUUCCAACACCAAGGCUACCAAAUUCAGAUCUCUACCAGUAAGAUCAAAAUGGUUGUGAUGAUAUUAUUUCCCAUUGUAUUGGAAUAUUUUUGUGUGAUUUGAAGUUCAAUCAUAAUAAAAUAUUUUAAUAAAAUGUCCUCGGUUGCUAAUUUUUCAAUAGUAUACUCUAUCAUCGUUUCUAACUGUCUUUUAGAGCCAUUUGGUCUAAUUUAUUUUUGAAUUAAAAUCCAUAAAUAUUUAAAUUUUUGAAUCAUAUUAAGAAUUAUCUGGAGUGUAUGGUCUGAUCUUCAAGUUCUGGCUUGUAAACAAAUUAGAGUUCUGAUAUUUGCCCCGGGUCAAACCCCGAAAUUAAAUAAAACGGCGUCGUUUUGUUUUUUUUUUUUUUUUUUUCUUUUUUACUUCUUCCAAACGUUGCCAUUUCACUUGUCAUUUGCAAGUGACUCCAUUGAUCCUUAGUUGAAACAGAGUUACACCGUAAAUCUCUUCCUCUUCGUUUCUUCGUUUCACCAGGGAACGAGACAGAUAAAAUCCAGCCAUUCUUCGACAUAACAAGAUAUCGAUUAGAAUCCAACGACAUAACUAUAAACCAUGACAUUGCGCUUGAUUUUGCGAAAUACCGAUUAAGAACCAGUAACUUUGAAUCCAAUGACCGUUAAGAGUUUGAAAUUGGUUUCAAAUGACUAAUGAGUUAUCAGAUUUCUUUGCGUCUACAUUUUCCUUGAAGGUUUCUCAGCAGCCAAACAAAUACAAAGCAAAUUGCAGAAGAAACACAUUUUGUUCCAAUGAAAAAUGUACGGAAACAUUUUAAAUAUGGAAAAUUACCUCAAAAUGAAGGCUCGCAAGAGAUUCGAGCAACAAAUUAGAUCAAAGGAACCGGCGCUGAGCAAGAAAGUGAGCUCAAAGAUUCCGAAACACAAACGUAAAUUCACAAAAAUGCAAAUCUAUGAUGAACGCCAAGAUCAAAAUUUUCGAAGAAAGGGAGCUGAAAAAAUAAAUGAAACGUCAAACUAGAUGACAAUGGAUUUGCUUCUUCAAAGGAGACAAUGAAAUUGUUACUAGAGACAGCUAGAGAAAUAGAGAGAGAGAGAGAGAGAGCUUGAAUUGGCUGUACCCCCACCAGAAAGUGGGUAGUGCCUUUUCCACUUGGACUUGAUAUGCGAAUCUGAAAAAAUCUGAACGAAGGACUGACUCAUCCCAGCUCGAAAGCAAACCAAGCUAGGACUGACUGAAAACGUUGCCGUUUGGAGAAGUUAAAAAAAAAAACUAAACAAAACGACGCCGUUUUGUUUAGUUUCGGGGUUUGACCCGGAAUUUGACCCGGGGCAAACAUCAUUUUCCAACAAAUUAUGCAUGGUCGUGUACACGCUUUCCCUAAUUAAGCAUGAGGUUCGUGAUCAAGGCACAACAUUCACUCCCUGCGACCCAACAAUCGCUACAUUGUUUGCCACCUAUAGUGCCAACGAUUUUGCACGGUCCAAUUAUGGUCCCCAAUCGAAAACGUUGCGCAAAUGUUUUCUGGGCAAGAUGAUAAGUAACGCAAGCCUUGAUGCUUGUUAUGGUCUAAGAAAACAAGAGGUUAAUAUAUAUAUAUAUAUAUAUAUAUAUAUAUAUAUAUAUAUAUAUAAAUUGGCAUUGUCAACUUUUGUAUGUUUUAUUCAGAACCCGCUGUGGGUUGACGCUAGCAUGCUUGCGUUAGGAGACGAGGGGACCAAUCUUGGGGCUGAGCUAAAAUAUAAGCUUGUAGAGAUCAUCUUGCUAAUGGUAAUGUUUUCCGAUGCUGGUUUAAUUCAUGGUAUAAAAAGGAGAACAAAAAAGAUUUUUCUAUGCUUUGAAAAUAUUAUAAUUUUUAUUUUAUAAUUUUUAAUAAAAUCUCUCAUUGAUAGCCAAACAAUUAAAAUUUUUGUAAAGCUUUUGUGGACUUUUGAUCGCGUAUGGUGCCAAUGUAUUGCGUGGUCCUAUUAUGGUUCCAAAUGGAGAAAGUUGCACAAGUUUUUUGAGUACCAGAAGAUCAGUAAUGUAAGCCUUGAUGGUUGUUAUGGUCUAAGAAAACAAGAGGCUAAAAAUUCUAUCUGGGAUUUUUAUAACAACAACAAAAUUGGCAAGCCCAUUGACAUUGGUGAAUUGUCAGUUUCAACCUUGGUAAGUGCGAUUCAGAACAUGCUGUGGGGUGAAACGCUUGAAAUAACAAAGAAAUGGAUUUACUAAUAUUGGGGCUGGGCUAAGAUUUAAGCUUGCAGAACUCACGGUGCUAGAGGGAACACCGAAUAUUUUGGAUAUCUUUCCAGUGCUUUCAUGGUUUAAUAUACAAGGUUUUCAGAGAAUAGCAAAGAAGAUUUCUCUAUGGUUUUAAAAUAUUAUCAAUUCUACUGCUGAACGCUAUAGAAACAACGUCUCUAUUGUCAAAAGUGAAGAAGCAGCAGCAGCAGGGAACAAUAUUGAAGGAAGGAAUAAGGACUUGGUGCAGUUACGCUUGGAGCUUCAAGGUAAAGAAGACAAUGCUUCAUCAAUUAGCAGGACGCAAUUUAAGAGCUUGCUCGUGGUAUGUUGCGCAACUAGCCACAGACAGUUACAGAAACUGAGUUUGGCAGAUUACGACCGUUUCUGGUGAUUACAUAAUUAUUUGUGGCUGUUUUUUUUUUUUAAUUGUAAUUUUCUUAACAGGAUAUAAUUUAGGGUGGAACCAACACCACAACUAUAAUGGUGGAAUGGACAAUGGCAUAAUUGAUACAGCAUCCACAAGUAAUAGAGAAUGUACAGGUAGAACUAAAUCGGGCCGUGGCCAUCGACAGCCAUGUUGAAGAAUUUCACCUAGCUAAGUUAAAAUAUUUAGAUGCUGUGGUGAAAGAAACAUUCUGCACUGUAAUAUAAUACAUGAAUCAUAUGUCCUCUAUUGUUUUUUUAUUUUUCUCUUUUUUUCAAUAGCUUAAUCUAUCAUUAAAAUCUUCUGAAAUUCUAAAUUAAUAUACAUUCAACCUAGAGUUCAAGCCAAAGUUUUAUUGAGCAUUAAAAAAAAAAAAAAUUCUACGACUCAAAAUUUUGUGGAGUAUAAAUUAAAAAUUAUGCGCCUACUAAGAGACAAAAAAUAAAUGAUACACAUUAACCAAUCAAAGGCGAACAAGAGAUUAUUAACAAUAACCUAAUAAUAAAAUUAUAAUGAAUAAAAAAGAAAUGGUACCUAGAAACACAUCACAGCCAUUUAAGCAAUCACUUACCCACAAAAUCCAAACAUAUAAACUAUGUGGGGGGGGGGGGGGGGGGGGGGGGUGUCAUGAUACCUUUGGGUUUCAUGAUAAUCAAAAUUGCAAUACCAUUAAAGACUCAAAAAUAAAAAAAAUCAUAGCCAAUAAAAGAGAAAAAAUAACCCACAAAAAAUCAUCAAGAAAAUAAAUUUGAGACUAAGAGAAGAUAUUAAUUAAACCCUGGGUUGCCUUGGAACCACGGCUUUGGCUUCCAUUUUUCAAUUCUUGGCGACAAGUCAUUUCUUGUUUGUUUACAAAGAUGACGGCUGAUUAAUGAAGCUCUAUUAACAAUGAAUAAAUAAAAAAACUGGCGCCUUGAAAAGACUAACGGUCAUAUUUUUCAACUCCGAAUUAGUGCCGUUUGAUGAGUCCUUGCCAAAACAAUCACUAGGCAAAUAACAAUCAUUUUUCAACCAGCAAAACUCAUUCAUUGUAUUUCACCUUAGUCAAGAUUUAAAAAUUGUUUCAAAAUAAACCUAGUGGUUAGAACCCAAGCGUCACAAUUGUGAGGUCAUGGGUUUGAGCCCCCACAACGUAUUGUGGGGGUUAAUUUUCUUCUUCAAUUUGAGUGAAAACAGUUCUCUCCCUUUCGAAAUGUGGGUGGAGUGGACGUCCCUCAAAUAUUAGAGAGGGUUCAAAUUUGGAUUGUACUAUAUAAGAUUUAUAAAUUAGUCCCAGUAAUUAUCUGAUUGUAAAUAUCAAUAUACUAAUCUAAUUAAAUAUGAGUUGUAAUAUGAGCGUUAGUCUCAUGUAAUUAAAAAAAAAAUGUUUCAAAAUAGGAUUCUUAAAAGGUUGGGGAAAUGGCCAUCAAUAUCCCCAACUUUCCAAAAAGAGACACCAAGACCCAUUUUGACCAUAAUACCCUUUACUUCUAUUAUCCCCAAAAAAUUGACUCUAAUGUUUUAUAAUAAAUAAAAAUAUAACAUUAAAAUAAAUGUAAUAGUAUAUACAUUUUAAAAUAGUUUCAAUAUCUAAAAACCAUUUUAAUAUUUUAAAUCCUAUUAUAUAUAUAUUAAAGUAAAUUUUAUAAUAAAUAGAAUCAUAAUAUUGAAAUAAAUGCAUUAAAAUUUAAAUUAUUUUUAAUAUUAUGUAAAAUAAUAAUUUUAUCAUUAUAAGUAUAUGAGAAUUUUUUUAAUUGUAGAAUGUAUUUAAUGCAAAUAUUUAUUUAAAAUCUCUACAAUAAAUAAAAAUAUACUAUUAAAACAAAUCUCUACAAUAUAUACAUACAUACAUAUACAUUGGCCUGGUAUUUUAUUUUUCAUUUUUUAAACUUAUUAAAUCCUCUAACUAUCAUUUGAUUAUUUUUUUCAAUGAUGAAGAGGCCAUUGCCGGAUAAAUUAUUAAAAUCAACUAGUUCUACAAGAAUGUCCCUUUUUAAAGGAAGAUGAUUCUCUCUCUCGAAAUUUUUUAUCUUGUGCUACAAACUAAAAACUUAUGCCAUUUCAUUAACCACAGAGAUCUUUGAGGAAAUGAUGCUUCGCCCCCCCCCCCCCCCCCCCCCCCCCCCCCCCCCCCCCGCGGCGCCAAAAAGUGUCCUUCCAUAUUUUGUGAAGGCUAAUACAUCGAUGAAUCUAGAUUUCUUUAAAUUUUUUGUUUUACUCAAUUCGAGAUAAUAAAUAGUUUAUCUUUAUUAAAUCUUUACUUUAACAAUGAUAGAUAUUCAAUCCAUGCAAAUAUCUAUCAUUGUAUGAGCUGAUUGCGUGGAGGGAGCGGUAAUUGAAAUCUAAUUGAAAACAGCAGAAGGCUGUUCUUGACAGAUCUCAAAUAUAUUACGGACACGUUGGGAGACAUCUCUAUCAUAGAUAUCCCCAUGCAGUGAUAUUUGUCGUGAUCUAAUUUUUAGUAAAUCUGUAAGAGAGAUUGUAACAUCUUUCAAGUUUUUUGGUUUGAUAUUCUAGACGAAAACGGUUUGUCGUUUCUUGAGCAAACGGCUAACCGUUUAAGUCCAGAGAGCAUGUUUGUUGUUCUGGAUAAAACGGCUCACCGUUGUUGCGAAAACGGCUAACCGUUUAACUCAAGAGAGCAUGUUUUAUGUUCUAGAGAAAACGGCUCACCGUUAUUGAGAAAACGGCUAACCGUUUAUUUACAGAGAGCAACGUAUUUGAUAUUCUGGAAUAAAAUGGCUCACCAUUUAUUGAGAAAACGGCUAACUGUUUAUUUCCAGAAAGGCGUCAAUUAGAAAAACGGUUAGCAAGAAUGAAAAUUUCAAUUGACAAUCGAUGCAAAUUCAAACCAAAAGAGUGUCUUCGAAAAAGUACCAUUUCUAAUGGUUGUAUUCUUUCAAAUAAACAUCUUCUUCAUUAAAGAAAUACACACAAUUAGAUUGAUAAUCAGAUUUUGACAGGUUUCUUAUAUGUUCUGGAAAUACAAUCUUAUUUGCUAGAGAUUGUAUUCAGGAUUUGUUAUAUCUUGGGGGUAAUUUGCCAUUAAAACUAUAUAGCAAACCAAGAUUGGUGAGGGCAAAUAAAACCUUAAAGGAAAGUAUGCAAACACGUCUCAAAUCCUAUGAAACUUUCUUUGUUCUUUGCCUCCAUAUUCUUAUUAUUCACUAACAAAAUCCCCAUGCAGUGAUAUUUGUCGUGAUCUAAUUAUUAGAAAAAUCUAUGAUUUCGCUACUGUAAUAAAAUUUGUCACUACUCUACAUUAAUCUAAAUGUCUGAUGAGAUUUGUAAUUGCUUCCGACGGGAAAACAGUUAAUAGGUUGAUUGAAUGUAUGUGGUAAAGAUUCCACGUAUCUCACGACAGAAUGCUGACCACUGGAACCCUAUCUACUUUUACGCGAUUAAUUCACGAGCUUAGGCACGACAAUUGCAAUACAAAUUAUCCCUUCAUCAUAUAUUUCGUUAAAAUUCAUUCUGAAGCACUAAAACUAAACAAUCGAAUAUGGCUUUGAGGGUCGAUGAUGCCAGCAGCAAUGAGAGUGCAAUUAUCACUUGUUUAGUUUCUGUGCUUGCCGUGGCUUAUUUAGCAUGGAAUGUGAAAAAAUCAAGGAAAGCAAAUGCUAAACUGCCACCAGGACCUCGCGGCUUGCCUGUAGUCGGAUACCUCCCAUUUCUCGGGACUACUGACUUGCACAAGAAAUUCACGGAAUUUAUUUUACUAUUAUAUUUAUAUUCAAAAUAAUUUUAAUUAGCUUUUAAAAUGAAUGAUUUUAGGAAAUUAUAAAUAAAGGUAACUAAGAAUUCUCUUAAUGUAAUAUAUUAUUAAUUAGUUUAAAAAUACAAAUUUAUUAAUUAGAGAAAUUAUUAGUGAAUUUAAAUUAAUGAUCUUAAUGAUUUGUUUGUACGAUUGCCCCCAAUCAAAGGUAAUUUUCCUAAAAAUUAUUAGGAAAUUAGAGAAAUUUAAUUUUUUUAGUGGGUUCAAUUGCCCACACACCCCGACUGAAGCAUUUUUUACAAUAUGUACUCCGUUUGUCGGCAGGAAAAUAAAGGUCUUGACACAUGAUCACUUCACUCCUUUAUUUACUUUGCUAACGCAGAUUUUGAGGUAUUAAAACAAAUAAUAAUUGAAUAUGACUUUGUGGGUCGACGACGCCAGCAACGAGGAGACCGCCAAUUAUCACAUUUUAAGUUUGCUGUAAUUGCCGUUGUUUUAUAUUAGUAGAAUAUUAGUGAUAAGAUAAUUGUAGAGUUUUCAUUUUUUUAAUAUUAAAAUCAAGUCAAUUUAUUAUAAUAAAUUUAGUUGAAUUUAAUCGUAUUACCACAUAAAUUGAAUAAUAAUAGAAUUCUCGACAAUAUUUCAAUAUUUUAAUCUCAAGCAUUGGAGUGGCAUUUAUUUGUUAUACGGUCGAUUUUAGAAUUUAUAAAAUUAUUCGUUGCUGAAUUGCACCAUAUGCUGCAUAACCUGAAACUUAAUAAACGGAACGUAGCGUUGGCACCGUUACUCAACAUUCACUGUUACGACUUUGUGACAUUAGAAUUAAAAUCUUUUCCACAUUUAAUUUGUUUACUUCCAACUUAAUAUUUAACAAAAUGUAUGUUAGCAUUGUAUGCCAUAUCAUCUGUAAUUUUGUCAGGAUCGAUCAUUCUAAUUUUUAAGCAGAACUUUUUGUCAAUGGACAAACACCUCAUACAGCUUGUCAGAGGCAUUAGUAUGAUGUAAAAUUGUAAUGGUAUAUCUUGAAUUAUUUUAGAAUAGUGAAUAACUAUUUGGAGCAAUAAAAACAAAUAAGACAGAUGAGAAAAUGGCUAAAAUUAUAUAAGUGACCCAAAAUUUUUUGCUAUUUCCAAGAAAUCCCCAAUCUGAAUGGACCAGAGGGAGGCAAGUUAGAAAUACAUUUCCUUCAUAGACAAUAACAACGAUGAGUGGAUGACAUCAAACCACGUUGGUAUCAAUAUUGAAAUAAAGGUGCAAUUAUUCAGCCAAUGAGCCUUAGUACACAUCAAGAUAUAUAAAAGUCAAGAAAAUGAAAAUUUAUCCCAAUUAAAACUCUUUCUGGCUGCAUUUAGCUGUUUCUGUUUAGGGAUGGCAAUUUAAUCCGGACCCAGCCCGACCCGGAUGAAUCCAGAAAAUUCGGGGUGGAUUCAACCCGUACCGGAGUGAAUAAAAUCUGAUAUUCAAAUUCAAUAUUUUCAACCCGGACGUUUCCGAGUCCGGAUCCGGAUUUGGGUAAACCCGCAUAUCCGGAACCCGGAUCCGGAUAACUAUUUUAAUAUUAAUUUUUAAAUCAUUUUAAAAUAAAAAAAAAUUAGAAAAAAUCAGCCCUAAUGCCCUUCCACAGCCACGGCAGCCAAACCAAACCCAGACAUUUCCUCUCUCUCUCUUUAGCCCUUCUUUUCAACAAAUCAUCAUCGUUGCUCAUCAUCGUUUCGUCGUGUUCAUCUUCAUCUUCAUCAUCAGCUGCCGUUUGUCCAGCUAUGUCACUAGUUUUGGCCGCCGUUUCCGUUUGUGCACCUUCGCAAAUCGGGAUCUCGAUUUGGCCGCCAACACUUCUACCCCCUGGUGUUUUGCUUUGUCCUCGACAACUUCUUUGUUGAUAAAUUGACGGGCACUUAUGAAUGCAUUUGUCUCUGUUUCUUCAUUUACACCUUCCCAGUUGUUUGUUCAUUUGCUUUUUGGAAGGAAAAAAAAAAAAAAUCAGCCACCAUUUAUCCUUCCCCUUUUCUUGACCUAACCCCACAAAGCCCAAUUUGUCAUCAUCAUUCAUUGGCAAAUUUGUUAUCAUCAUGGUUGAGACAUCAUGAUUAUCUUUGAUAAUUGAAUUUGUGUAAUAUGUUACCUUGGAUUUUAUUUCUAAGUAUUUGAUUUUGAAUUAUUUUCCAUUAUUGGUGUUAAUAGAUAGAAGAUUAGAAAGGAAUUCUUCACUGAAUAAAGAGAUGGGAAAUUGCAUCUUUUAGCAAUCAUCCGGGUUAUAAACCCGGAAUCCGGAAACCAGGAUUUUUCCGGGUUUAACCCAGUCCGGACCCGAAUGAAAAAUAUCCGGGUUUACAUCCGGGUCUGGUAUUAAAAUUUAUCGUCCGGAUCCGGAACAGGGAAGACAAAACCCGGACCCGAACCCACAUUUUGCCAUCCCUAUUUCCAUUUGAAGUUAACAACAACGUUUCUUUCGUUUUGUGGGCGACUUGACUGAGCCAGCUGGAUUCUAGUGCUAGUAUGUGAAAAUAGAAGGCUAAUGAUUUCACGUUCACUAGCCCACCUCCCCUCCUCUCGUUUCCUCUGAAUCAAUUUUCACGUGUGGUACCGAUUGAAAAUAUCUCUGACAUUUCGUGGACAUCUCUAUUGAAAAUAUCUCAGACAUUUCACUCAGGCAAACUUAUUAAUAUAAAAAAUCUAUGAUUUUUUCGUCUUAUACUGUAGAAAAAUUUGUCUAUACAUUAAUCUAGAUGUUUGAGGUGGUUUAUACAUCUGUGGUAUAGAUUUAUAGGUUGAUUGAUACGUCUGUGGUAUAGAUUUUAUGUAUUUCAUUAUCAAAUGCUGGCCUUUGGGACCCUAUCUACAUCUAUUUAUAAAACUAACGGGUGCCAGUUAUGCCAUUACAAAUUAUCCCCUCUUCAUACAUUUCCUUAAAAUUCUUCUGAAACACCAAAACUAAAUAAUCGAAUAUGGCUUUGCGGGUCGAUGAUGCCAGCAACAAUGAGGCUGCAAUUAUCACUUGUUUAGUUUCUAUGCUUGCCGUGGUUUAUUUCGUAUGGAAUGUGAACAAAUCAAGGAAAGCAAAUGCUAAACUGCCACCAGGACCUCGCGGUUUGCCUGUAGUCGGAUACCUCCCAUUUCUCGGAACUACUGACUUGCACAAGAAAUUCACGGAAUUAUCCGGAGUUUAUGGUCCGAUCUUCAAGCUCUGGCUCGGAAAUAAAUUAAGUGUCGUGGUGAGCUCACCUUCCCUAGUUAAACAAGUGGUUCGUGAUCAAGAUACAACAUUCGCAGACCGUGACCCGCCGAUCUCAGGACUAGUGACCUCCUUUGGUGGCAAUGAUAUUACAUGGUCCAAUUACGGUCCCGAAUGGAGAAAGUUGCGCAAAUUUUUUGUGGGCAAGAUGAUGAGUAACGCAAGCCUUGAUGCUUGUUAUGCUUUAAGAAAACAUGAGGUUAAAAAUACUAUCAGGGAUUUGUAUAACAACGGCAACAAAAUUGGUAAGCCCAUUGACAUUGGUGAAUUGUCGAUUUCAACAUUGGUAUGUGCUAUGCAGAACAUGCUGUGGGGUGAAGCGCUUGAAUUAAAAGAGAAAGGGACAACUAAUCUUGGGGUUGAGCUAAAAUUUAAGUUUGCAGAACUCAUGGUGCUACUGGGAACACCGAAUAUUUCGGAUAUCUUUCCAAUGCUUUCUUGGCUCGACAUACAAGGUAUAGAGAGGAGAGCAAAGAAGAUUUCACUCUGGUUUGAAAAAAUUAUAAAUUCUACUGUUGAAAAGUAUAGAAGCAAGGACUUUAAUGUUGAAGGUAAAGAAAGAGCAGGGGAAAAUUUUGAAGGAUCAAGGAACAAGAACUUCUUGCAGUUACUAUUGGAGCUUCAAGAAAAUGAAGACGGUUCUUCCUCAAUUAGCAUGAACCAAUUUAAGGCCGUACUCGUGGUAUGUUAAGAAACUAGCCGCAAACAGUUAUACAAGCACAGCUGUAUAUUUUGCAUGAGUGAUAUUUUCAACCUUUUUUUUUUAUAAUUAGAAUUUUAUUGUAACCUUUUGGACAGGAUAUAAUUACGGCUGGAACCGACACCACAACUACGAUGGUGGAAUGGACAAUGGCAGAGUUGAUGCAGCAUCCACAAAUAAUGAAGAAAGUUCAGGAAGAAUUAGCUCAAGUUGUGGGCAUGGACAGUUGUGUUGAAGAAUUUCAUUUGCCUAAAUUGAAAUAUUUAGAUGCUGUGGUGAAAGAAUCGUCUCGUCUGCAUCCUGCAGUGCCUUUAUUACUACCACGCAGAGCAAGCGAGAGUGGCAGCAUUGGUGGCUAUAACAUUCCCAAAGAUACAACUAUUAUGUUGAAUGUUUGGGCAAUCCACAGGGACCCUAAACUUUGGGAUAAUCCCUUAGAAUUUCGACCCGAGAGGUUUCUAGAUGAUGGUAUCGCGAGUAAGUUCGAUUACUCAGGUAACAAUUUUCAGUACUUGCCAUUUGGUUCUGGUAGAAGGAUGUGUGCUGGGAUUCCUCUAGCUGAGAGGAUGCUGAUGUUUGUUUUGGCUUCGUUAUUGCACUCAUUUGAGUGGGAAUUGCCAGCUGGCACAAAGCUAAACUUAUCUGAAAAAUUUGGGAUUGUCAUUAAGAAAAAAGAGCCUUUAGUUGCUAUUCCAACACCAAGACUAUCCAAUUCAGAGCUCUACCAUUAAGACAGAAUGGUUGUGAUGAUUUUGUUAAUUUCCGAAGAUUUGUAUGUUAUGUCAAGUUCAAUCGUAAUAAAAUAUUUCAAAUAAGAGUCCUCCGUUGCUUUUUUUUUUUUUUUCAACCGCAUAAUCUGUCGUCAUGCUUGUAUUUGGGGCUACUUUGGAAUAAUUAUGUUUGAAUUACAAUAUAUAAAUAUUACAUUUUAAAAUUUUAUGAGAUUCUAAAUUUAUACACGUUCAAUAACCCACUUCAUAUAUGUUUAACACAAUUUAUAUCAUACAUUGUAUACCCAUUUGUCAUAAAUUACGCUAUUUUAUAUCUCUAAAUAAUAUUACAUAUUGAUAUUAUAAAAUGUUGUUAACUCACGUGUGUAUAUAUAUAUAGCAAGUCACGUGCAUAUAUUAUUGGUUGUUAUAUGUUUGCUAGUUUGAUAGGAUUUCCUUUCCUUGUGAACUAGGGUAAUUCUUAUGUACAUAUAAAUAUUGAUCAAUAAGAGUGCAGAUGAUGACUGCAGUUUUGCAUCGUAGAAAUUCUUCGUAAAAUAUAUAUGUUUAUCAAAAGGCUAUACCAUUCAAUAUAUAUUGGAAAGAGAACAAAGAAGAUCUUCUUAUGGUUUGAAAAUAUUAUGAAUUCUGCUGUUGAACAGUAUGGAAACAAGGUCUGUUGUUAAAGGUGAAGAAGUCACAGGGAACAAUAUUGAAGGAAGAAAUUUCACGUUUAGUUGCUGAAUUUGCCGCUGUAUUCUAUCGGUAGUAAAAAGAUUAGAGUUUUUAUUUUUCUCUAUUAAUGUUAAGUCAAUUUUCUAUAACAAAUUCGGUUGAGUUUAAUUGUGUUACAAUAUAAAUUGAAUGAUAGUAGAAUUUUCAACGAAUAAUUCAAUAUUUCUAUCUCGAUUGUUGAAGUGCCAUUUAUUUGUUAUACGAUCGAUUUUAAAAUUUAUAAAAUUAUUUGUUACUAAAUUGCAUCAUAUGCUAAAUCACCUGAAACCUAAUUUCAUAACUAACCCUUUAUUUUUAGUUCUCAAGAAAUCUUGUAAGAACAAAAUUCUUUUGUAACAAAACGUUUACAACAAAUUAAUUUGUAACUCAUUCCUGUGCGAGAAUCACUCUCAAUUUCCUUCAAUUGCUGUUUAACAAUCAUCUGCUUAUCAAAAUUCAAGCAUAAUCUUUUUUUUUAAUUUCUUCAUCAUUCUUUUGAAAAAAAAAAUCAGGAUAUGCUGUUAAAUUUUGAAAUAAAUUAUCUCAAAAUAAUUACUAACCAGAAAAAACAAAGGGGUUUAACUAGGUUAUGCAUACCUUUGAAAAUUAUAUGUUGAUCGAUAAGAAUGAUGAUCACGAUUGACGAGUUUAAUUAAAAUAUAUAAGAUUUUAAAAUUAAUCAGGGUUAAAUUGUGAAUUUUAGAAAGAGAGGUUUUGUGAGAAUGUUGAAAGGGUGUUAAUAGUUCCACUCUUUUUAAAAACAACCAUAGUCAUCAUUUUUCCAUGGUUGUUUUUAAAAAGAGUAUUUCUUCUUCCCAUCUCCAUCUUAUUUAGAAAUUUCCCAGAGCCUUUGUUUCCCACCUUUCAUUUUUCUUCUUUCUAAUUUAAUAAUCCACCCUUCUUGUAUUCAAACUAAAAAAUUAAAAUCUGAAAAUUUAAAACCCAAUAUUAUAGUAUUAUAAAAAUAAUUACUCACAUUUUAUCAAACACCUCCAUUCUUCCAAGGCCUUGUUUUAGUAGUAGGCUUUUAUUAUCUCAAUAAAAUUGAAAAAAAAAAUCUCAAUAAUAUUGGAAAAAAACCCUACCCAUAUUUGUAACUUUAAUUUAUUAUUCUCCAUAGACCUACUUUUUAGUUUUGAAUUUUGUUGGAGCCAUAUAUAAACAGAAUAUGUUGAAAUCAGCACCCAAAAAAAAAAAAACUAAUUAUAUAAUUUAUGUUCCCAAGGACAUGGCUGAGUGAUUUUCAAGAAGUUUUGUUUGGCUGGCCACUUAGGUUUAAAUCUUGGUGGAGAUUAAGGGUUAAGAAAUAAAUUUAGACUUUGCACACCCCUUUAACUUUUAAAAAGAAAUGAAAAAAUUAAUUAAUUAAUCUUUAUUUUAUUUAUUAAAUGUCAUAAUCCUAUGCGUAUUUUAUUUGUUAUCUUUCUAUUUAAAAGACGAGGGCAGAUAAAACUGAAAUAAAUUUUUAGCCCUAUCUCCAUAUUUCAAGUUCCAUAGUUAGGUGACCAGCUAAAAAAAAUUAAUUGAAAGCUACUCCAUCAAAUUAAAAAAAUUUAUUUAUUUAAUUUGUGGAGAUGUAGAAAAUCAAACCCCAUACCUUUUCGCAUACACUGAACAUAUUUUAAUACAUGACUAUCAUCCUUUAUCCUAAAUACUACUAUAACUAAUAACAUACAAUUGAAAUAAUUAAUGUUAACACUUGGCUAUAAAUAAAGGUUUUGUGCUUGAAUCUUCACGCAUGACCUUCAUUCCUUUAUUGACUUUGCUAACACAGAUUUUGAGGCAUUAAAACUAAAUAAUAAUUGACUUUGUGGGCCGAGGAUGCCAGCAACAAGGAGACCACAAUUAUCACUUAAGUUACUCUAAUUGCCGUUGUCUUAUAUUCAUAGAAUAUUAGUAAUAAGAUUAUUGCAGAAUUUUUUUAAUAUUAAAAUUAAGUCAAUUUGUUAUAACAAAUUUAGUUGAGUUUAAUCGUGUUACUACAUAAAUUGAAUAAUAAUAGAAUUCUCGACAAAUAUUUCAAUAUUUUUAUCCCAAGCGUUGGAGUGGCAUUUAUUUGUUAUACGAUCGAUUUUAGAACUUAUAAAAUUAUUCGUUACUGAAUUGCACCAUAUGCUGCAUGACCUGAAACUUAAUAAACGGAAUGUAGCGUUGGCACCGUUACUCAACAUACUGUUACGACUUUGUGACAUUAGAAUUAAAAUCUUUUGCACAUUUAAUUUGUUUACUUCAAAAUUAAUAUUUAACAAAAUAUUUUUUUCACAUUAUCAAUGGACAAAACUCCAACGAAAAUAACUACACAAGAAAAAUGUAUGCUAGUAUUGUGUGCCAUAUCAUCUGUAAUUUUGUCAGGAUCGAACACUCUAAUUUUUAAGCAGAACUUUUUAUCAAUGGACAAACACCUCACACAGCUUGUCAGAGGCAUUAUUAUGAUAGAAAACUGUAAUGGUAUAUCUUGAAUUAUUGGUAGAAUAGUUCUUUGGAGCAAUAAAAAUAGAUAAGACAGAUGAGAAAAUUGUCAAUACCCCACCGCAAAAGCAAAAGAAAAAAAGGAAAGGAGACAAAAGAGGAAGAAGAAAAAAAGGAAAGGAGACAAAAGAGGAAGAAGAAAAAGAAAAAAGAACGAAGAAAAAAAUGGUGCCGCGCUGUAUUGGGAAGAAGAAAAAAAUUAAUAAAAUAAUAAUAAAUAAUAAAUAAUAAAUAAUAAAAUAAUAGUGCACAACAAUCAUUUGAUUGCUAUAAAUAAAGGGGCAUUUUCCUCAUUUUAUUCAUCGAAUUCUUCAGUUCCUUUCAAGCGAUUUAAGAGUCUAGUGAUUUGAGAGUUUGGGAGUAUUGUGAUUUUGAGUACUAAGUUAAAAUACUAUAAUACUUGUAACUCAUUUUCACUAGUAAAAUAUUUUUCUUCUGUCUUCGCCCGUAGACGUAGGCUAAAAGCUGAACCACGUAAUUUCUGGUGUCCCUAUGUGAUUAUGUGUCUCAUUAUUUCUCAAUUUUACUUUAGUUACGUGUCUGCUACACCCUUCAAUUUACUAACAAAAAUGGCCAAAAUUAUAUAAGUGACCCAAAUUUUUUUGCUAUUUCCAAGAAAUCCCCAAUCGGAAUAGACCAAACUAGAGGGAGGCAAGUUAGAAAUACGUUUCCUUCAUAAACAAUAACAGCGAUGAGUCGAUGACAUCGAGCCACGUCGGUAUCAAUAUUGAAUUAAAGGUGCAAUUAUUCAGCCAAUGAGCCUUACACAUCAAGAUAAAAGUCAAGAAAAUGAAAAAUUUAUCCUAAUUAAAACACUUUCUGGCUGCAUUUAGCUGUUUCUAUUUGAAGUUAAAAACAACAUUUCUUUCGUUUUGUGGGCAACUCGACUGAGUUCGCUGGCUUCUAGUGCUAGUAUGUGAAAAUAGAAGGCUAAUGAUUUAUUUGUUAUCUUUUGACAAAAAAUGUUAAAGAUAUAAUAGAUUUUCCAUGAUACAAAUGAAAAAUUAUAUCAACAUAACUUCCAAGCUACAGCAGCUAGUGUUUACCAAACACUUUGCUGUAGCUUUUAAGCUACAGCUGCCCAACCUCAAUAGGUUGAUUGAAUUUGUGGGAUAUAGAUUCCACAUAUCUCAUGACCUAUUAAUUAUACAAGUGGUUCUUGAUCAAGAACAACAUUUGCUUCCGACCCAGUAACCCAGCAACUGCUGCACUGGUCGCCACCUAUGGUGCCGACGAUAUUGCAUGGUCCAAUUAUGGCCUUGAAUGGAAAAAGUUGAGCAAAUUAUUUGUGGGCACGAUGAUAAGUAACGCAAGCCUUGAUGCUAGUUAUGGUCGAAGAAAACAAGAGGUUAAGAAUACUAUCAGAGAUAUGCAUAACAACAAAAAGGAAAAAAAAAAAAAAAGGCAUUGGCAAGUCAAUUGAUAUUGCUGAAUUGUCGAUUUCAACUUUGGCAUGUGUAAUUCAGACAUUGCGCGUUGUGGUAUGGCGCUGGCACGCUUGCAUUGCCGAGAGGACAAAUCUUGGGGCUGGGCUAAAAUUUAGGCUUGUAGAACUCAUGGUGCUAAUGGGAACGCCAAAUUUUUUUAACAUAUUUCGGUGCUUUCAUGGUUUAAUUCAAGGUAUAGAAAGGAGUGUUGAGAAUGUCAAAUAAAACGACAUUGAAUGGAAGUUGUCAAAGACAUGAUCCGCACUGAACGGCAAUGACACGGUUGGUAAAGAUUUUUUCAUAAUAUGCGUAUCUAAUUUUUGAAAAAUUGUAACCUCUGCUUCUAUAAAUAUGCUCAAUGUAUAAUGUUUUACUUAAGAAAUGAAAAACUUAAUUCUUUAUGGUAUCAGAGCGAGGCUCGUUGCUCUGUUUGUAACAAAAACAAAGAAAACUAAAUUCUUCCCACAACUAUUUUUCCACCUUUUUUUCUUCCUUAAAAGCAUUCCUAGCAUUACAGAAACCCAUGCCAAUAAAAGAACAAGCCACACAUAUGUAAAAACUUUAGUUUACAAAUCUAUCAACAUCCCCAUAAAUUUUCCCAAAAAGUGAUCUUCAAAAACCAAAAAUACCAUCAAUUUUCGCAUCUUCUAGUAAACAAACUAUAAAAGUUUCGCACUCAAACAGAGCCACACGCGCCUCCACGCGCUUCCCGGAAUCACGGCCAACCACCACGCGCCUCUGUCACCACCAACUCACCCUCAUGCGCUCCAGAUGUUGCAGAAGACGCAAAACGACGUGUCGUUUUCUUCUCUAAAAGUGCAGCAACGUGGAAAUGACUUUUUGUUUUUGCCUUAAAUUGUUUUUCCUCGUUUGAAGCUAUACAACAUUUUUCUUUCUAAACCUGUUUUUUACAAUAAAAAAAGAAAAAAAUGGAGAAAACUCCAACUGAAUCUACUCAUGUUGUCAUUCAAUCUGUUCAACCUGAUGGAGUAUUUAAUGCCGAAAUUAUCCUUACUAAGACAAACUACGAUAUUUGAUCUCAAAUAAUGGAGAUGCAUCUCGCAGAAAGAAAAAAACUCCCAUAUAUUCGUAGCAGCAUAAAUCCAUCUGACAAAUUUUCAAAGAAAUAUGAGAAAUGGUAUAGUGAGAACCAAAAAGUAAAAAGAUGGUUACUCAUAACCAUGUGUCCUGAGAUCAUGAAGCGAUAGUUACAAAUUCCUACAGCCUACGAAAUUUAGAAUGCAUUAUCAAAAGCCUUUUAUAAUGGAAGCGAUGAAAUACAAGUUUUCACUCUAAAUCAGAAGGCGUUCUCUACGAAGCAAAAUGGACAACCACUCUCUAAAUUCUACGGAGAAUUGAUCAAAAUGUUUCAAGAACUUAAUCACCGAGAUAAAGUGGUCAUGAAGGAUCCAGAAGAUGUUAUAAUAUAUAGGAAGUUUGUUGGAAGAUUGAGAGUGCACAUUUUUCUUGCUGGACUAGAUGAAGAAUUUGACCAAGUUUGUGGAGAAAUUCUACGAAAAGAUACUAUCCUAGACUUAAAAGAAUGUUAUUCUCUAAUCCGAAAAGAAGAUGUACGGCAAAGCAAACUAACAAGAAGGUGGACGACUCAGAAACGUCUGCUAUGAUACCACAAGAGAACAAUGUUUUGAAAUUGUUCGAUAUCCUGACUGGUGGGAUACUCGAAGUAAUAACACAAAGCAGAGAUAAAAAACUGCAGUAGCUGAAUCCACAUCCACUACAGAUCUUAGAAAAGAAUCUUCAGCGCAAAUUGCAACCUCUGUCAAUUCAGGUAAGGUCAUUAAAACUCUUACAUUUGUUAUUAAUAGUAUAUGGAUAAUUGAUUAUGGUGCAACUGAUCAUAUGACUUUUGAUUCUUGACAAGUUUCUUAAUUGAAACCAUCUUCACAUAAACAUGUUUCUACUGUAAAUAGAACCACAACCUCAGUUAUUGGGGAAGGAUCUUUACAACUCACAAUUAAAUCAAAUUUAGACUUUGUGUUAAUUGUUCCAUCUUUAAAUUAUAAUCUUUUAUAUGUGUCUCAAAUAACCUCUUACUUAUCAUGUGUUGUAAUGUUUUGGCCCGAUCAUUGCAUGUUUAAGGACAUCCAAAUGAAGGAAACGAUUGGUUAUGAUAUUAAAUAAGGCAACUUGUAUUACCUGGAGAUGACAUCAACAAACACUGAAAAGCUAAGCCCCGCAUUAGUAGCAGACAAUUCCAUGAAAAAAAAGGAAAUAAGAAAUUUGGUUAUGGCAUAGACGAUUAGGGCAUGUGUCAUUUGAUUUCUUAAAAAAAUUGUUUCCUAGUUUGUUUCUGAAAUUUGAUAUUUGUAACUUUAAAUAUGAUGUUUGUGAACUUUCAAAUAGCCAUCGAACUACUUUUCCAUUGUCCUUAAAUAAGAAUCCAAUUCCUUUAAUGGUAGUACAUUCUGAUGUAUAGAGACCAUCUAAAGUUUCUACCAUUGGAAGAGCUCGUUGGUUUGUUACAUUUAUUGAUGAUUGUAGCAGAAUGACAUGGAUUUUUUUAUGAAAUUAAAAUCAUAUGAUGGUGACAACUCUAUUUCAGACACAAAUUUGAGUUCUACAUACUGAUAAUGGAGGCGAGUAUAUGAGCACAACAAUUCAACAGUUUUUGAAAUCACAAUGAACUCACCACCAAACCACUUGUGUGGGGACACUCCAACAAAAUGGCGUUGCUAAACAAAAAAAUAGACAUUUACUAGAAGUUGUUCAAGCAUCACUAAUUUAGGCCCGCAUGCCACUAUUUUAUUGGGGAGAAGCAUUGGCAUCCGUAGCAUACUUGAUCAAUCGGACACCUUCAAUCUUCCUUGGAUUCCAAACUUAUUUUCUAGUUCUAAAUGAAGAAUUAUGUCAUCAAAUGUGUCGAAUUUACCCCCACAUAUGUUUGGUUGUGUUGCCUUCGUUCAUUUGCCAUGACAAGAUAAAUUAUCUCCUCGAGCACUACGUUGUGUGUUUGUAGGGUAUGCCUUACAUCAAAAGGGGUACCGAUGCUAUCAUCCUCUAUUAAGAAAAAAUAUACAUCACCAUGGACAUAAUCUUUCAUGAAGAUAUCAUGUAGUACCCAUCGGAGCUUGAAUUUCAGAGGGAGUAUAAUGAAGAGGAAAUUCAUACUCUUACAUAUCUUUCACCUGAAGAAGAUCAAUCCUCCAUUGAGGUAGUAAACGUUCAAGAUACUGGAAAAGAAAACGACAAUGAUUCUCAGGCUGAGACAAGUGAAGACACAUUUAGGGAGCAAAAUAACUCAGACAUAACCACAAUCGAGAACGAGUCCAUGAAGAGCCACAUGAAGAAAUAUCUAACCAAUCAUCUGCAGAGGAUGAUCCUACCACAAAUCCCAGUCUAAUCAGAAGAAUACUUCCCCAGCAUCAAAAUAGAGGUAUCUCUAAACCCACAUAUAAGACUGACCUCUCUAGUAGAGUCAAAUACCCUAUGAGUCAUUUUGUAUCUAACCAUGGCUUAUCAAAAUCAAAUCAGUCAUUUGUGAAUCAAUUAUCUACUGUGUCUAUUCCUAACAGUGUGCAAUAAGCCUUAAAAUAUCGAAAGUGGAAAGGGCUAUGAAUGACGAAAUGAGAUCUCUUUAAAAAAAAUCAAACAUGGGAACUAAUUGAUCUUCCACCAGGAAAGAAACCAGUGGGUUGCCGAUGGAACUAGUUGAUCAUCCACCUCCAUUCUGACAAGCAAUGUUUAUCAGCAAUAACAAAUGACUGAAGCAUUUUAAUGAGGUUAGUAACGAAAAAGAGUUUAAUUAGAGAAUAUUAUAAGAGAAAUUCUAAUUUUUGAUUUUUAAUAAAUUAAAAUAUCUUAAAAUAUUAUUAGUUGGUGGUGGUUUCAUGUCAGAUUAAGACGUGACACCUUACUAAUGAGGUCGAGACAAUUAGCUUAAAUUAUUUCAAUGCAUUUGAAAUUUCCACUAAUGACUAUAAUUCUUUGUCCUAAUUACUAUGAUAAUUAAUAACAUACAAUUGAAAUAGUUAAUAUUAGCACUUGGCAAUAAAUAAUUAAAUUUCAUUAACACUAAAUAAUAAUUGAAUAUGGCUUUGUACAUCGAUGACGCCAGCAACAAGGGGACCGCGAUUAUCACUCUUUAAGUUGCUUUUAAAAUUGAUUUUAGUAGUGAUAUGAUUAUUGUAGUGUUUUUAUUUUUUAUAUUAAAAUUAAGUGAUUUGUUAUAAUAAACUUAGUUGAGUUUAAUGGUAUUACUACAUAAAUUGAAUAGUUAUCAAAUAUUUUAAUAUUUUUAUGGCAAGCGUUGACGUGGCAUUUAUUUGUUGUAUGAUGGAUUUUAAAAUUUAUAAAAUUAUUUGUUAUUAAAUUACCCCCAGAUGCUACAUCACCUGAAACUUAAUAAAGGUAUGAAGACAUGUGUGUGUGGACUGAAAUGAAGAAUAUGGAAAAGUUGAGAGCUGUUGUGCAGAUUGAGUUCAGUUGAUGGGGUCUAUUAGAUAUUGUCUGCUGACGUGGCAUGAAUUCGUUAUAAUCUGUUAUAACGAGUUCAGUAUAUCAGUAUACAAUAGAGCUGAUGGAUGGUGCCUGUUUUAGAGUCUUUUUUAUAUUCAUUUGUUCAUCAUUUUGCGCAAGAUCUGUUCCAUUGUGAUAUGUGUAAAGUCUUAUGUAAACCCACUUAUGAUUGGAUUAGUUCUUGAUUAAUAACAACGAGUAAAUUUUCCUUCAAGUGUGCUGGUCUGUGCCCCUGUUUUUUGUUCUGAUAUUGUUUCUUUGUUCUGGCAUUUCAUUUCGAUUGUGUUCUUGGUGUUUCUACUCAUCAAGAUUUAUGAGUCUUGUUGAGAUUAAAGACUUAAUAGUCUUAACAAGUGGUAUCAGAGCCUGGUGAAUCUCAGCCAUGUCUCUUUCGAAGCAUGAAAUUGAAAAAUUCACCAUUGGUGGUGAUUUCUCGCUUUCGAAAUUAAAAAUGAGGGCUCUCCUUGUGCAUUAGAGGCUUGAAUUUGCUCUGGAAAAAGAUAAUCUAGAGGCUGCUACAAGUUAUGUGACUGAUGAUAAGAAGAGACAAAUCCAAAACCGAGCUCGUAGCACUCUAGUUUUGAGUCUUGGUGACUCAAUCUUGAGAAAGAUUUCUGAAGAGAAGACAACCUUAGGGAUUUGGAACAAGGUAGAAGCUUUGUGUACAAAGAAGUCGCUAGCUCACAGACUAUUCUUGAAGAAAAAGUUAUACACAUUCUCGAUGAGAGAAGGAGUCACAAUUCAAGAUCACAUUGAUACCUUCAACAAGAUCAUUCUUGAUCUUGAAGGGGUGGAAAAUGUGACAAUAAGUGAUGAAGAUAAAGCCUUCUUCUUGUUGAGUUCCUUACCAAAGUCUUAUGAAGGCUUUGUAGAUACAAUGCUUUAUGGCAGAACAACAUUGACUCUUGAAGAUGUUAAAGCAUCUCUAAGUUCAAAAGAGAUUCAGAAGAACAAUGAGAUUGAAACAAAUAAUGGUGAUGGGCUGAUUGCCAGAUCAGAAAAGAAGAAAGAUCAGAAGAAUAAAAAUCAGGGAAAAUGACAUGGAAAGAAUUAAGAAAAUGCAGACAAGAAGAAAAAGAAGAGAAAAUGCUUCUACUGCCGGAAGGAAGGGCAUUACAUCAGGGAUUGUCUUAAAAAGAAAAAAAAAGAAAGUCAAGAGAAGUCAGGGGAUGCAGCUGUAGCCUCUGAUGAUGCCUCUGAUGGAUAUCACAUUGCUGAUUUACUUGUGGCCUCAAAUAGCAAUACUAAAGGUCAGUGGGUCAUAGACUCUGAGUGCUCUUUUCACUUGUGGCCUGAUAAAACCAUAUUUUACAAAUAUGAAGUUGUUGAUGGUGGUAGAGUCUUAAUGGGAAAUAAUAAUGUGUGUAAUCUUGUUGGUAUUGGUUCUGUGAAGAUCAAGAUGUUUGAUGGAACUGUAAGAGCUCUACAUGAGGUGAGGCAUGCUCCUAGGCUAAAGAGAAAUCUAAUCUCUUUAGGCAUGCUAGACAGCUUAGGGUAUUUCUUUAAAUCAGAAAGUGGUGGUUUAGAGAUAAGAAAGGGGACUGAGAUAGUGAUGAAGGGGGUUAAAGAAAAUGGCUUAUAUGUAUUGUAAGGCUCAUCAGUGCUUCUUCAAAAGGGAAUUUCUGCUCUUUUUGAGGAAGAUAUAACCAAGUUAUGACAUCUUAGACUUGGUCAUAUGAGUGUCAAAGGGAUGUAAGAGCUCAGCAAACAAGGGCUACUUGGUGGGGAUAGAAUCCAGCAACUGGAAUUAUGUGAAAAUUGCAUUUUUGGCAAAGCUCACAGGUCCAAGUUUCACAAGGGGGAGCAUAUGUCUAAGCAAGUUUUGGACUAUGCACAUGCUGACCUUUGGGGGCCUGCUCAAGUCCCAUCCUUGAGUGGUGGCAGGUAUUUCAUAUCACUAAUUGAUGAUUACUCAAGGAAGAUGUGGGUCUACAUACUCAAGACCAAAGAUCAAGCCUAGGAAAAAAUUCAAGGUAUAGAAAUCUUUGGUAGAAAAUCAAUUUGGAUUCAAGCUCAAAUGCUUGAGAACUGAUAAUGGUUUGGAAUUUUGUAGCAAAGAAUUUGAGGAAUAUUACAAAAAAACAUGGCAUAAAAAGGCACAAAACAGUCAGGUUCACCCCCCAGCAGAAUGGCUUGGCUGAAAGGAUGAACAUGACCUUGGUAGAUAAGACCAGAUGUAUGUUGAUAAAUUCAAAGCUUCCAAGAAGCUUUUGGGCAGAAGCUGUCAAUACAACAAGUUGUUUGGUUAACAGAAGCCCAUAUUCUGCAAUUGGCUUCAAAACACCAGAAGAAUUGUGGAAGGAAAAACCUGUAAAUUACCAAAAUCUCAGUGUUUUUGGAUGCCCUGCUUAUCUCCACAUCAAUCAAGGCAAGCUGGAAGCUAGGGCCUUGAAAGGAGUCUUUGUUGGAUAUCCUGAUGGGGUUAAGGGAUACAUAAUCUGGUGUAGAGAGUAAGGGAAGUGUAUAGUCAGCAGGGAUGUUGUGUUUCAUGAAUUUGGAUUGCUAAAAGAAAAUGCAGAGAAUGAUACUAGACUACAAAAUGAUUCAAUAAUUAUCAAACAAUCUGGAACUUCCAAGGUUAAGGUGGAGCUGUUUGGAAAUAAAGACAGUAGAAAAGAGGUAGCUGAUUAUGAAGAGAGGACCACAGCUAAAGUUGAGGAACAUGAGUCAUCAGAGUUGCCACAAGCUGACUUGCAGACUUAUCAGUUAGCAAGAGAUAGAGUUAGAAGAGAAGUCAAAGCACUAGUGAGGUAUGGCUAUGCUGACUUAAUUACUUAUGCAUUGUUGUGUGCUGAUGAUGUGGCAAUUGAAGAGCCUGCUAACUUCUCUGAAGUUAUUGAAAGUGUGCAUUGUGAUAAGUGGCUUGAGGCAAUGCAAGAUGAAAUGGGAUCCCUUCAAAGAAAUCAGACCUGGACACUUGUUCCAAAUCUAGGUAAUAAAAAGUUGAUCAGUUGUAAGUGGAUCUUCAAGAAGAAUGAAGGAAUUCCAGAUGUUGAACCUCCCAAAUAUAAAGCAAGGCUAGUGGCUAGGGGGUUUACACAGAGAAAGAGUGUAGAUUUCAAUGAAAAAUUUUCCCCUGUUCUUAAGCACAUUUCAAUAAGAAUUUUAUUAGUCAUGGUAGCCUUACUUGACUUGGAGCUUGAGCAAAUGGAUGUAAAAACAGCAUUCCUUCAUGGUAAUCUUGAAGAACAGAUAUUGAUGGCACAACCUAAAUGUUUUGAGUGCAAAGGAAAUGAGGAUUAUGUUUGUUUGCUGCAUAAGUCCUUGUAUGGACUCAAGCAAUCCCCACGACAGUGGUACAUAAGAUUUGAUGAUUUUAUGGUCUCAAAAGGCUAUCACAUAAGCAAAUAUGACAGUUGUGUUUACUUUGGUGGAUCAUAUCAAGGUGGAGUUGCUUAUUUGCUUCUGUAUGUUGAAGAUAUGUUAAUUGCAAGAAAAUAUAAGUUGGAGAUAGAGAGGUUGAAGAAAUGAAGGAUCUCGGCAAUGCCAAAAGAAUCCUUGGGAUGAACAUUACAAGGGGCAGAUCUGCUGACACUUUGUUCUUGAGUCAUGAGAAAUAUAUCAAGAAGGUUCUGGAGAGGUUUGAGAUGCAAGACUAUAAACCUGUCCAAACACCACUUGGUCCCCAAUUCAAGUUGACAGCAGCUCAAUCAUCAGAAGAUGAGUCUCAGGUGAGUGAAUUCCCAUAUGCACAGGUUGUAGGGAGCCUGAUGUAUGUAAUGGUAUGCACCAGGUCAGAUAUAGCUUAUGCAGUAAGUGUUGUCAGCAAAUUUCUCAGUUGUCUAGGCAAGGUUCACUGGAAUGUUGUAAAAUGGAUAAUGAGAUAUCUUAAGGGCUCUUUUACUUGUGGUUUGCUGUAUGGGAAGACUAAGAGUGACAUAAGUGAAGUCCUGGGGUUUGUAGACUCUGACUUUGCUGGAGAUCUUGAUAGAAUGAAGUCAACCUCAGGGUAUAUGUUUGUGUUAAACAGUUGCCUGAUUAGCUGGAAGUCAUCACUUCAGUCUGUGGUUGCUUUAUCCUCAACUGAAGCUGAGUUUGUUGCAACUACAGAGGCAGUAAAAGAGGCCAUGUGGCUAAGAGGUUUGCUUAAUGAGUUAUGGUUAAAUCAGAAAAUUGUUCAGGUUUUCUGUGAUAACCAAAGUGUCAUACACCUGGUAAAGAAUCAGAUGUAUCAUGAAAGAACCAAGCACAUUGAUGUGAAGCUCCAGUUUAUCAGAGAUGAGGUUGGAAAAGGAACUAUAAUUGUGUCCAAGAUCUAUACCAGUGUGAAUCCAACUGAUGUUAUUACAAAAGCACUUCCCACUGCAAAAUUUGAAUUCUAUGUGAAUCUAAUGGGCAUCUCGCCCAAACCUAACUAAAUUCAAUAGUGAAUUGUAGUUGAAUGAAGGUUUUUUAGGUGCUGUGUUAUUGAAAGGAUCAACUGAAUCAACUGCAAGGUGGAGAAUGUGAAGAUGUGUGUGUGGACUGAAAUGAAGAAUAUGAAAAAGUUGAGAGCUGUUGUGCAGAUUGACUUCAGUUGAUGGGGUCUAUUAGAUAUUGUCUGCUGACGUGGUAUGAAUUCGUUAUAAUCUGUUAUAACGAGUUCAAUAUAUCAGUAUAUAAUGGAGCUGAUGGAUGGUGCCUGUUUUAGAGUCUUUUUCGUAUUCAUUUGUUCAUCAUUUUGCACAAGAUUUGUUCCAUUGUGAUCUGUGUAAAGUCUUCUGUAAAUCCACUCAUGAUUGGAUUAGUUCUUGAUCAAUAACGAGUAAAUUUUCCUUCAAGUGUGCUGGUCUGUGCCCCUGUUUUUGGUUCUAAUAUUGUUUCUUUGUUUUGGCAUUUCAUUUCGAUUGUGUGCUUGGUGUUUCUACUCAUCAAGAUUUGUGAGUCUUGUUGAGAUUAAAGGCUUAAUAGUCUUAACAAAAGGGAAUGUAGCAUUGCCAUUAAUCAACAUUCACUCUUAUGACUUUAUGACAUUAGAAUUAAAAUCUUUCGUACAUUUAAUUUAUUUGCUUCCAAAUUAAUCUUUAAUAAAUAUUUUUUCACAUUAUCAUCAAUGGACAAAACUCCAACGAAAAUAACUACACGAGAACAAUUUAUGCUAGUAUUAAAUGCCACGAUAUCUAUAACUUUGUCUGGAUCGAUCAUUCUAAUUUUUUCGCAGAACUUUUUGUCAAUGGACAAACACCUCACAGAGCUUGUCAGCCGCAUUAUUACGAUGUAAAAUUGUACCGGAAUAUCUUGAAUUAUUAGUAGAAUAAUGAAGACUAUUUGGGGCAAUAAAAACAAAUAACGCAGAUAAAAAAAUGGCUAAAAUUAUGUAAGUGAGCCCCAAAGUUUUUGCUAUUUCCAGGAAAUCCCAAAUUUGAAUGGACUAGAGGGAGGCACGUAAGAAAUACAUUUUCUUCCUAGACAAUGACAGCUAUGACAUCAAGCCACGGUGGCGUCAGUAUUGAAAUUAAGGUGUAAUUAUUCAGCCAAUGAGCCUUACACAUCAAGAUAAAAGUCAAGAUAAUGAAAAUUUGGCUGUUUCCAUUUGAAGUUAAAAGCAACGUUUCUUUCGUUUUGUGGGCGACUCGACUGAGCACGCCCCAAUAGCUAUAUUUAGGGCGUCAAUUUGAUAUUUGAAUGGACAGGCAAGUAAGAAAUACAUUUCCUUCAUAGACAAUGACAACGAGGACAUCAAGCCACAUCAUUAUAGUUUGUAGCCCAUCUACAUUUAAACGAUUAAUAAACAAGCUUAGGUGUGCCACUGCUAUUAUUAAUUAUCCCCUGAUCAUUAUAGUUUCUGAAACAGUAAAACUAAACGAAAUUGAAUACAUCAACGAGACCGCAAUUAUCACUUGUUUAGUUGCGGUAUUUAACUUAAUUUUAAUAUAAUAUAUUUGUUAGUUAAACUUUUAAUAAUCAAAUAAUUUUGAUUUAAAAAUAAAAUUAUAGAAAUUAUUAAUUAUUAAUUAUUAAAAAUUCACAAUUAAGGGAACGUUCAUCAAACACACAUAGCUAUUGUUUUCUCUAUAUAUUGCAGUGUGUACGAUAUUGAGGGUUGAAGCCCCAAGCAUGCUCUAAAAUCCAGAUAAUAAUUAGAUCCGGGCCAAAUAUUCAUCAUUGUGUCAGCUGAUCAGUCGGUGGACAUCUCUAUUGAAAAUAUCUCUGACAUUUCACUCGACAAACUUAUUAAUAUAAAAAAUCUGUGGUUUUGCCGUCUGAAUAAUGUAGAAAAAUUUGUCUAUGCAUUAAUCUAGAUGUUUGAGGUGAUUUAUACAUCUGUGGUAAAGAUUUAUAGGUUGACUUAGACGUCUGUGGUAUAGAUUUUAUGUAUUUCAUUACAAAAUGCUGGCCGUUAGAACCCUUUCUACAUCUAUUUAUAAGAUUAACGGGUGCCAGCUAUGCCAUUACAAAUUAUCCCCUCAUCAGAUAUUUCGUUAAAAUUCAUUCUGAAACACUAAAACUAAAUAAUCGAAUAUGGCUUUGCGGGUCGAUGAUGCCAGCAGCAAUGAGACUGCAAUUAUCACUUGUUUAGUUUCUGUGCUGGCCGUGGUUUACUUCGCAUGGAAUGUGAAAAAAUCAAGGAAAGCAAAUGCUACACUGCCACCAGGACCUCGCGGCUUGCCUGUAUUCGGAUACCUCCCAUUUCUUGGAACUACUGACUUGCACAAGAAAUUCACGGAAUUAUCCGGAGUUUAUGGUCCGAUCUUCAAGCUUUGGCUUGGAAAUAAAUUAUGUGUAGUGGUGAGCUCACCUUCCCUAAUUAGACAAGUGGUUCGUGAUCAAGAUACAACAUUCGCGAACCGUGACCCACCGAAGGCUGCACUAGUGGUCUCCUAUGGUGGCAAUGAUAUUGCAUGGUCCAAUUACGGUCCCGAAUGGAGAAAGUUGCGCAAAUUUUUUGUGGGCAAGAUGAUGAAUAACGCAAGCCUUGAUGCUUGUUAUGCUCUAAGAAGACAAGAGGUUAAAAAUACUAUCAGGGAUUUGUAUAACAACGACAACAAAAUUGGCAAGCCCAUUGACAUUGGUGAAUUGUCGUUUUCAACAUUGGUAUGUGCUAUACAGAACAUGCUGUGGGGUGAAGCGCUUGAAUUAAAAGAGAAAGGGACCACUAAUCUUAGGGCUGGGCUAAAAUUUAAGCUGGCAGAACUCAUGGUGCUUGCGGGAACACCGAAUAUUUCGGAUGUCUUUCCAAUGCUUUCAUGGCUUGACAUACAAGGUAUAGAGAGGAGAGCAAAGAAGAUUUCACUCUGGCUUGAUAAUGUUAUAAAUUCUACUGUUGAACAGCAUAGAAACAAGGAGUUAACUGUUGAAGGUGAAGAAAGAGCGGGGAAAAAUUUUGAAGGAUCAAGGAACAAGAACUUCUUGCAGUUACUAUUGGAGCUUCAAGAAAAUGAUGACAGUGCUUCCUCAAUUAGCAUGAACCAAUUCAAGGCCGUACUCGCGGUAUGUUAAGCAACUAGCCACGAACAGUUAUACAAGCACAAUUGUAUAUUUGCAUGAGUGAUAUUUUCAACCUUUUUUUUUAAUUAGAAUUUUAUUGUCACCUUUUGGACAGGAUAUAAUUACGGCUGGAACCGACACCACAACUACGAUGGUGGAAUGGACAAUGGCAGAGUUGAUGCAGCAUCCACAAGUAAUGAAGAAAGUUCAGGAAGAAUUAGCUCAAGUUGUGGGCAUGGACAGUUGUGUUGAAGAAUUUCACCUGUCUAGAUUAAUGUAUUUAGAUGCUGUGGUGAAGGAAACAUUUCGUCUGCAUCCUGCAGUGCCUUUAUUACUACCACGUAGGGCAAGCGAGAGUGGCAACAUUGGUGGCUAUACCAUUCCCAAAGAUACAACUCUUAUGUUGAAUGUUUGGGCUAUCCACAGGGACCCUCACCUUUGGGAUAAUCCCUUAGAAUUUCGACCCGAGAGGUUUCUGAAUGUUGGUAUCGAGAGUAAGUUCGAUUACUCAGGUAACAAUUUUCAGUACUUGCCAUUUGGUUCUGGUAGAAGGAUGUGUGCUGGGAUUCCUCUAGCUGAGAGGAUGCUGAUGUUUGUUUUGGCUUCGUUAUUGCACUCAUUCGAGUGGGAAUUGCCAACUGGCACAAAGCUAAACUUAUCAGAAAAAUUUGGGAUUGUCAUUAAGAAAAAAGAGCCUUUGGUUGCUAUUCCAACACCAAGACUAUCCAAUUCAGAGCUCUACCAUUAAGACCAAAUGGUUGUGAUGAUUUUGUUAAUUUCCGAAGAUUUGUAUGUUAUUUCAAGUUCAAUCGUAGUAAAAUAUUUCAAAUAAGAGUCCUCCGUUGCUUUUUUUUUUUUUUUUCAACGGCAUAAUCUGUGGUCAUGCUUGUAUUUGGAGCCACUUUAGAAAAAUUAUGUUUGAAUUACAAUUUAUAAAUAUUACAUUUUAAAAUAUUAUGAGGCUAAAUUUAUACACGUUCAAUAACCCGCUUCAUAUAUAUUUAACACAAUUUAUAUCAUACAUUGUACACCCAUUUAUCAUAAAUUACACUAUUUUGUAUCUCUAAAUAAUAUUACGUAUUGAUAUUAUAAAAUAUAUAUGGAAAAGAGAACAAAGAAGAUUUCUUAUGGUUUGAAAAUAUUAUGAAUUCUGCUGUUGAACAGUAUGGAAACAAGGUCUCUGUUGUUAAAGGUGAAGAAGCAACAGGGAACAAUAUUGAAGGAAGAAAUUUCACAUGUUUAGUUGCUGAAUUUGCCGCUGUAUUCUAUCGGUAGUAAAAAAAUUAGAGUUUUUAUUUUUCUCUAUUAAUGUUAAGUCAAUUUUCUAUAACAAAUUCGGUUGAGUUUAAUUGUGUUACAAUAUAAAUUGAAUGAUAAUAGAAUUUUCAACGAAUAUUUCAAUAUUUCUAUCUCGAUUGUUGAAGUGCCAUUUAUUUGUUAUGCGAUCGAUUUUAAAAUUUAUAAAAAUUAUUUGUUACUAAAUUGCAUCAUAUGCUAAAAUCACCUGAAACCUAAUUCCAUAACUAACCCUUUAUUUUUAGUUCUCAAGAAAUCUUGUAAGAACAAAAUUCUUUUAUAACAAAACUUUUACAACACAUUAAUUUGUAACUCAUUCCUGUGCGAGAAUCACUCUCAAAUUCCUUCAAUUGCUGUUGAACAAUCAUCUGCUUAUCAAAAUUCAAGCAUAAUCUUUUCUUUUUUUUAAUUUCUUCAUCAUUCUUUUGAAAAAAAAAAAUCAGGAUAUGCUGUUAAAAUUUUGAAAUAAAUUAUCUCAAAAUAAUUACUAACCAGAAAAAACAAAGGGGUUUAACUAGGUUAUGCAUACCUUUGAAAAUUAUAUGUUGAUCGAUAAGAAUGAUGAUCACGAUUGAGGAGUUUAAUUAAAAUAUAUAAGAUUUUAAAAUUAAUCAGGGUUAAAUUGUGAAUUUUAGAAAGAGAGGUUUUGUGAGAAUGCUGAAAGGGUGUUAAUAGUUCCACUCUUUUUAAAAGCAACCAUAGUCAUCAUUUUUCCCGAUUUCUUCUUCCCAUCUCCAUCUUAUUUAGAAAUUUCCCAGAGCCUUUGUUUCCCACCUUUCAUUGUUCUUCUUUCUAAUUUAAUACUAUAGGAUUACAAAAAUAAUUACUCACAUUUUAUCAAACACCUCCAUUCUACCAAGGCCUUGUUUUAGUAGUAGGCUUUUAUUAUCUCAAUAAAAUUGAAAAAACAAAUCUCAAUAAUAUUGGAAAAAAAAAACCUACCCAUAUUUGUAACUUUAAUUUAUUAUUCUCCAUAGACCUACUUUUUAGCUUUGAAUUUUGUUGGAGCCAUAUAUAAACAGAAUAUGUUGAAUCAGCACCAAAAAAAAAAAAAAAAAACUAAUUAUAUAAUUUCUGUUCCCAAGGACAUGACUGAUUGAUUUUCAAGAAGUUUUGUUUGGCUGGCUACUUAGGUUUAAAUCUUGGUGGAGAUUAGGGGUUAAGAAAUAAAUUUGGACUUUGCACACCCCUUUAACUUUUAAAAAGAAAUGAAAAAAACUAAUUAAUUAAUCUUUAUUUUAUUUAUUAAAUAUCAUAAUCCUAUGCGUAUUUUAUUUGUUAUCUUUCUAUUUAAAAGACAGGAGGGCAGAUAAAACUGAAAUAAAUUUUUAGCCCUAUCUCCAUCUUUCAAGUUCCAUAGUUAGGUGACCAGGUAAAGAAAAUUAAUUGAAAGCUACUCCAUCAAAUUAAAAAAUUUUAUUUAUUUAAUUUGUGGAGAUGUAGAAAAUCAAACCCCAUGCCUUUUCGCGUGGAAAAGUGUCAACCUGGUCUAGCUAUGUUGCAAAAGUGAACAUAUUUUAAUACAUGACUAUCAUCCUUUAUCCUAAAUACUACUAUAACUAAUAACAUACAAUUGAAAUAAUUAAUGUUAACACUUGGCUAUAAAUAAAGGUUUUGUGCUUGAAUCUUCACGCAUGACCUUCAUUCCUUUAUUUACUUUGCUAACACAGAUUUUGAGGCAUUAAAACUAAAUAAUAAUUGACUUUGUGGGCCGAGGAUGCCAGCAACAAGGAGACCACAAUUAUCACUUGUUAAGUUACUCUAAUUGCCGUUGUCUUAUAUUCAUAGAAUAUUAGUAAUAAGAUUAUUGUAGAAUUUUUUUAUAUUAAAAUUAAGUCAAUUUGUUAUAACAAAUUUAGUUGAGUUUAAUCGUGUUACCACAUAAAUUGAAUAAUAAUAAAAUUCUCGACAAAUAUUUCAAUAUUUUUAUCCCAAGCGUUGGAGUGGCAUUUAUUUGUUAUACGAUCAAUUUUAGAAUUUAUAAAAUUAUUCGUUACUGAAUUGCACCAUAUGCUGCAUGACCUGAAACUUAAUAAACGGAACGUAGCGUUGGCACCGUUACUCAACAUACUGUUACGACUUUGUGACAUUAGAAUUAAAAUCUUUUGCACAUUUAAUUUGUUUACUUCCAAAUUAAUAUUUAACAAAAUAUUUUUUCACAUUAUCAAUGGACAAAACUCCAACGAAAAUAACUACACAAGAAAAAUGUAUGCUAGUAUUGUGUGCCAUAUCAUCUGUAAUUUUGUCAGGAUCGAUCAUUCUAAUUUUUAAGCAGAACUUUUUAUCAAUGGACAAACACCUCACACAGCUUGUCAGAGGCAUUAUUAUGAUGGAAAACUGUAAUGGUAUAUCUUGAAUUAUUGGUAGAAUAGUUCUUUGGAGCAAUAAAAACAGAUAAGACAGAUGAGAAAAUUGUCAAUACCCCACCGCAAAAGCAAAAGAAAAAAAGGAAAGGAGACAAAAGAGGAAGAAGAAAAAGAAAAAAGAACGAAGAAAAAAAUGGUGCCGCGCGGUAUAGGCAAGAAGAAAAAAUAAUAAUAAAAUAAUAAAAUAAUAGUGCACAACAGUCAUUUGAUUGCUAUAAAUAAAGGGGCAUUUCCCUCAUUUUAUUCAUCGAAUUCUUCAGUUCCUAAGCGAUUUAAGAGUCUAGUGAUUUGAGAGUUUGGGUAUAGUAUAGUUUUGAGUAGUGAGUUAAAAUAUUACAAUACUUAUAACUUAUUUUUACUAAUAAAAUAUUUUUCUUCUAUCUUCACCCGUGGACGUAGGGUCAAAGCCGAAUCACAUAAUUUUUAGUAUCCCUAUGUGAUUAUGUAUCUCAUUAUUUUUCAAUUUUACUUUAGUUACGUGUCUGCUACAUCCUUCAAUUUACUAACAAAAAUGGCCAAAAUUAUAUAAGUGACCCAAAUUUUUUUGCUAUUUCCAAGAAAUCUCCAAUCUGAAUGGGCCAGACCAGAGGGAGGCAAGUUAGAAAUACGUUUCCUUCAUAGACAAUAACAGCGAUGAGUCGAUGACAUCGAGCCACGUCGGUAUCAAUAUUGAAUUAAAGGUGCAAUUAUUCAGCCAAUGAGCCUUACACAUCAAGAUAAAAGUCAAGAAAAUGAAUAUUUAUCCUAAUUAAAACACUUUCUGGCUGCAUUUAGUUGUUUCCAUUUGAAGUUAAAAGCAACGUUUCUUUCGUUUUGUGGGCAACUCGACUCAGUUAGCUGGCUUCUAGUGCUAGUAAGUGAAAAUAGAAGGCUAAUGAUUUAUUUGUUAUCUUUUGAUAAAAUUAUUAAAGAUAUAAUAGAUUUUUCAUGAUACAAAUAAAAAAUCACAUCAACAUAGCUUCCAAAGUACAACAGCUAAUGUUUACCAAACACUUUGUUGUAGCUUUUAAGCUACAGCUGCCCAACUUUAAUUUCAAAUGCACCCUUAAUAGGUUGAUUGAAUUUGUGGGAUAUAGAUUCCACAUAUCGUAUGACCUAGUAACUAUACAAGUGGUUCGUGAUCAAGACACAACAUUUGCUUCCGGCCCGGUGACCCAGCAAUCGCUGCAUUGGUCGCCACCUAUGGUGCCAACGAUAUUGCAUGGUCCAAUUGUGGCCUUGAAUGGAAAAAGUUGAGCAAAUUAUUUGUGGACACGAUGAUAAGUAACGCAAGCCUUGAUGCUAGUUAUGGUCCAAGAAAACAAGAGAUAUGCAUAACAACAAAAAGGAAAAAAAAAAAAAAAAAAAAAAAGGCAUUUGCAAGCCCAUUGAUAUUGGUGAAUUGUCGAUUUCAACUUUGGCAUGUGUAAUCCAGAGCCUGCGCGCUGUGGUGUGGCGCUGGCACGCUUGCAUUGACGAGGGGACAAGUCUUGGGGCUGAGCUAACAUUUAAGCUCGCAGAACUCAUGGUGCUAAUGGGAACACCAAAUAUUUUUUGACAUAUUUUGGUGCUUUCAUGGUUUAAUUCAAGGUAUAGAAAGGAGUGUUGAGAAUGUCAAAUAAAACGGUAUUGAAUGGAAGUUGUUAAAGACACGAUCCGCACCGAACGACAACAGCACGGUUGCUAAAAAUCCUUCCGUAAUAGGCAUAUCUAAUUUUUGAAAAAGUGUAACCUCUACAUUUAUAAAUAUACUCAAUGUAUAAUGUUUUACUUAAGAAAUGAAAAACUUGUUUGUUCAAGGAGAAUAAAGAAAAAUUUUCUAUGAUUUUUCUAUGGUUUGAACAAAGAAGGUUUUAACGAGUAUUAUAGACCUCGAUUGAAUGUUCGAAUGUAUAAUAAAAGAGAAACUGUCACAUAAAUGACAAAGAUACUUGAAAAAAAAAAAAAAGGGCAGCAAUAGAGAAUUAGAUCCGACUGUACAAAUAACUAGUUAAUUCAUCGAUACAUCAUUUUCUUGCUAGAAAAUGACAAUUAUGACAGCAAGCCACGAUAGUGUCAAUAUUGAAAUUGAUUUGCAAUUAUUCAGCCUAUGAGCCUUACACGUCAAGAUAAAAGUCAAGAAAAUGAAAGUUAAUAUCAAUUAAAACACUUCCAUUUCUAUGUGAAGUUAAAAAACAACGUUUCUUUUGUUUUGUGGGGGAUUCAACUGAGCACGCGCCACUAGCUAGCUGGCUUCUAGUUCUAGCAUAUGAAAACAGAAUUCUAAAGAUUUCACUUUCACCUUUUUUCUUUUUUUGGGGUUUUGAAUCAAAGUCAAGGUCGCACUGAAUAAUAUGUAAAAUUUGAAAAAGAAGAAUUAAUAGAGAACAAAGUUUUGUUUUAAAUUCACAUGGUGUGCAUACAAUUCAACAAACACUUCCUAUAAUAAAUCUGGAGUUGUAUCCCACGUUGAACAAUAAAGGAAAGUCACCUAAAUAUACAUGUAGGAUAAGUUACUUUAUUUAGUAAGUUUGUAUUUUCUUCUUUCUUCUAGUUUACAUAUAAAUUUGAUUAGAUAACUUAACACAUAUUUUAAUACUUGAUCAGAAGCCCGACGUACAGGUGGAUCUAGAAACUUGAUUUCUAAGAGUAAUACUAUAAUAAAAAAAUAAUGAUUCAUAGAACCAAUAUCAAAAUUUGUUUACAAGAUUGCCCCCACUCAAAGGUAAUUUUCAUAGAAAUUAAUAGGAAAUUUAAUUGUUAGUGGGGUCAAAUUGCCCCCACACUCUGAAUGUAGAUCCACGCCCGACCCUGAGUCAAGUAUAUUUUGCCACAUAUACUCUGAAUGUCGGCAGGAAAAAUCUUCCACUUUAGUUAAAAAUUUUCACUUAAAAAAUAUUUAUGUUAAUAAAGUUCGUAAAGGAAAUGAGUUUAAUUAAUGAAUAUUAUAGGAGAAAUUAAAGGAAAUGAGUUUAAUUAAAGAAUAUUAUAGGAGAAAUUCUAUUGUUCGGCUUUUAAUAAAUUAAUUAAUAGGUUUAAAAGAUUAAUAUACAUCAAAAUAUUAUUAGUUGGUGGGGGUUCCACAUCGGACUAAUACGUGUCACCUUACUUGUGAGAUUAAGACAAUCGACUUAGACUAUUUAAAUAUGUUUGAAGCUUAGAUGGCACCGCUUCAAUUUGCAUUACUGAAUGUCAUUCUUUAUCCUAAUUACUACCGUAAUUGAUAACAUGCAAUUGAAGUAACUAAUAUUAGCACUUGGCUAUAAAUGAACUAAAGGCCGUGCAAUUGAAUCUUUACUUGAUCACUUCACUCCUUUAUUUUGCUAACACAGAUUUUGAGAUAUUAAAACGAAAUAAUAAUUGAAUCUGGCUUUGUGGGUCGAUGAUGCUAGCAAAAACGAGACCACAAUUAUCACUUGUUUAUUUGCUGUAUUUGACGUUGUUUCAUAUUGGUAGUAAUAGGGUCAGUUUUUAAUCUUUUUAUAUUAAAGUUAAGUCAAUUUGUUAUCAAAAAAAAAAAUUGGUUGAGUUUAAUUAUAUUGCUAUGUACAUUAAAUAAUUAUAAUAUUCUUGAGGGAAAAAGACACCUAGAACCUCAAGGUUUGGGGAAAUGGUCACAAAGACUCCUAAGUUUUAAAAAAGGAACACUAAGAUCUUUUUUUACCCAUAAUACCCUUUGACUAGAGUAAUUAAAAAAUUGACUUUAAAGGUUUUUAAAUAAUUCUAAUUUAAUAUAAAUCAUAUAAUCUAUCUAGUAAACUAAUAAUAUUAAAUUAUUUUUUAUAUUUAAAAUAAUGUUAAAUUUUAAAUUAUUAUAUUUAUAAAAUUAUAAAGAUUUUAAAUAAAUAUUUGGAUUGAAUAUAUUUUACAAUUAAAAGUCUUCCUAUUAAUAAUAUUAAAAUUUAAUUUUACAAAAUAUAUAUUCAAAAUAUUUUUAAUUUUAAUUUAUUUAUUUUAAUAUUAUGUUUCUACCUAUUAUUAAAAAUUACUUUAAUAUAAUAAAAUAGGUCUAAUAGAUUGAAAAAUAUGAAAAUAUUUUUAAAAUUUUAAAUUAUUUUGAAAUGUAUAUAUUAUUACAUUUAUUUCAAUGUCAUAUUUUCAUUUAUUAUAAAAUUUUGGGGUUAUUUUUUUGGGAAUUUAUAGAGUCAAAGAGCAUUAUAAUUUAAUCCAUGCACAAUAUCUAUAAUUAUAUCGGUUGUCGGCUGAUUUCGUGGAGGGGGCGGCAGUUCAAAAUUUUUACGUGCAUGUUGGAUGGACGUCUCUAUUAAAGGAGAGCCACCACUUGCAUGGUAAUUUUUUUAAAUAAAUAUAUACAUUUCAAAACAUUAUUUUCUUGUUGUAUAGUUAACAUGUCACCUUAGAUGUAUUUUAGAGCUUCUCCUAUUAAAGAUAAUCUCAUGCAGUGUUACAGAGUAUGGUAAUAUGGUAUAGAUGAGAGCAUCUGAUUAAAUGAAGCAGCUGGUAAUGCUUACGUGUGUGAGUUAGUUAUCCAGCUCAGCAGCAAAGCAAACGAAAUGAAUUGCAUGCAUAUUAGAUCCAACAAACUGGUAAACUCUAGAUUCUUCUUUCAUUUAGUAUAAAUACCAAGUUGUUAUCAUUUGCUAAAUAUAUAAUAAGAUGAUCAUUUUCAGAUCUUUCCUUUAUAAUUUUCUAUAACUUUCUCGUUAGUUUCUCUUGAACCAAACACUUUGUACGAACUCUUUCGUGCAGUGAUACUUCUCGUGAUCUAAUCAUUAGUAGAAUCUAUAAUUUCGCUACUGUAAUAAAAUCUGUCACUACCCUAUAUGAAUGUAGAUAUUUGACGCGAUUUGUAAUUGCUUCCGACAGGAAAACAGCAAUAGUUUUAUUGAAAUUUGUGGUAUAGAUUCCACGAAUCUUAUGACAGAAUACUGACCACUCCAACCCUAUCCGCAUUUACACGAUUAAUACACAAGCUUAGAUGUGACAAUGCAUUUGUCACUCAUUCAAAUUCAUCCUGAAACACUAUACACUAAAUAAUCGAAUAUGGCUUCGUGGGUCGAUGAUGCUAGCAGCAACGAGACUGCAAUUAUCACUUGUUUUGUUGCUGUACUUGUCGUGGUCUAUUUCGCAUGGAAUGUAAACAAAUCAAGUAAAGCAAAUGCUAAAUUGCCACCAGGACCUCGGGGCUUGCCAGUAGUCCGAUACCUCCCAUUUCUUGGAACUACUGACUUACACAAGACAUUCACGGAGUUAUCUGGAGUUUAUGGUCCGAUCUUCAAGAUUUGGCUUGGGAAUAAAUUGUGUGUAGUGGUGACCUCGCCUACCCUAGUUAAACAAGUGGUCCGUGAUCAAGAUAUAACAUUCUCAAACCGCGACCCACCGAUCGCUGGAACUGUGACCACCUACGGUGGCAAUGAUAUUGCACUUUCCAAUUACGGUCCCGAAUGGAAAAAGUUGCGAAAAUUAUUUGUGAGCAAGAUGAUGAGUAAUGAGACCCUUGAUGCUUGUUAUGCUCUAAGAAAACAAGAGGUUAAAAAUACUAUCAGGGAUUUGUAUAACAACAAUAAGGAUAAUAUUGGCAAUGGCAAUGGCAAGCCCAUUGACGUUGGUGAAUUGUCGAUUUCAACUUUGGUACGUGUUAUGCAGAACAUGCUGUGGGGUCAAGCAUUGGAAACAAGAGAGAAAGAGAUUACUAAUCUCGGGGCUAAUCUUGCAGAACUCAUGGUGCUACUGGGAACACCAAAUAUUUCGGAUAUUUUUCCAGUGCUUUCAUGGCUUGACAUGCAAGGUAUAGAGAGAAGAGCUAAGAAGAUUUCUCUAUGGUUUGAAAAUAUUAUCAAUUCUGGUGUUGAACAGUAUAGAAACAAGUUCUCUGUUGUUAAAGGUGAAGAAGCUGCAGCACGAAAAAAUAUUGAACGAUCAAGAAAUAAGGACUUCUUGCAGUUGCUGUUGGAGCUUCAGGAAAAUGAAGAUAGUGCUUCAUCUAUUAGCAUGAACCAACUAAAGGCCGUGCUCGUGGUAUGUUAAGCAACUAGACACAAAAAGUUGUAAAAGCACAGCGAUAUAUUUGCGCGAGGCCCCGAGUGAUGUUUUGCCUCGAGAACUCUCAAUUUUAUCUUACGGUAAAAAAUGUUUUUCAACUUUUUUUUUUAAUUAGAAUUUUAUUGCAAUUUAUUUAACAGGACAUAAUUGUGGCCGGAACCGACACCACAACUACGAUGGUGGAAUGGACAAUGGCAGAGUUGAUGCAACAUCCACAAGUAAUGAAGAAAGUUCAAGAAGAAUUCGCUCAAGCUGUGGGCAUGGACAGUUGUGUUGAAGAAUAUCACUUGCCUAAAUUAAAGUAUUUAGAUGCUGUGGUGAAAGAAACAUUUCGUUUGCAUCCUGCGUUGCCCUUAUUGGUACCUCGCACGGCAAGCAAGAAUAGCAACAUUGGUGGCUAUACCAUUCCCAACGACACUAAUCUUAUGUUGAAUGUUUGGGCUAUCCACAGGGACCCUCAACUUUGGGAUAAUCCCUUAGAAUUUCGACCUGAGAGGUUCUUGAAUGAUGGUAUCAUAAGCAAUUUCAAUUACUCGGGUAACAAUUUUCAGUACUUGCCAUUUGGUUCUGGUAGAAGGAUGUGCGCUGGGAUUGCUCUAGCUGAGAGGAUGUUGAUGCUUGUUCUGGCUUCGUUGUUGCACUUGUUUGAGUGGAAAUUGCCCUCGGGCACAAAGCUAGACUUAUCUGAAAAGUAUGGGAUUGUCAUGCGGAAAAAAGAGCCUCUAAUUGCUAUUCCAACACCAAGGCUACCAAAUUCAGAUCUCUACCAGUAAGAUCAAAAUGGUUUUGAUAAUAUUAUUUCCCAUUGUAUUGGAUUUGAAGUUCAAUCAUAAUAAAAUAUUUUAAUAAAAUGUCCUCGGUUGCUAAUUUUUCAAUAGUAUAAUCUGCACCUGUCUUUUAUAGCAAUUUGGUCUAAUUUAUUUUUGAAUUAAAAUCCAUAAAUAUUUAUAUUUUUUUAAUUAUAUUAGGAAUUAUGUGGGGUGUAUGGUCUGAUCUUCGAGCUAUGCCUUGAAAACAAAUUAUGCAUAGUCGUGCACACGCUUUCCCUAAUUAAGUUUGUGGUUCGUGCUCAAGGCACAGCAUUCACCCCCCGCGACCCAACAAUCGCUACAUUGUUCCCCACCUAAAGUGCCAACAUAUUGCAUAAGUAACGCAAAAUAUGGUCCCCAAUGGAAAACGUUGCGCAAAUUAUUUCUGGGCAAGAUGAUAAGUAACGCAAGCCUUGAUGCUUGUUAUGGUCUAAGAAAACAAGAGGUUAAAAAUACUAUCAGAGACAUAUAUAAAACAACAACAGAAAAAAUUGGCAUUAUCAUCGAUAAUGGUGAGUUGUGGAUUUCAACUUUGGUAUGUUUAAUUCAGAACCCGCAGUGGGGUGGCGCUAGCACGCCUGCGUUAGGAGACGAGGGGACCAAUCUUGGGGCCGAGCUAAAAUAUAGGCUUGUAGAGCUCAUGCUGCUAAUGGUAAUGGGAACACCUACUAUUUCGGAUACUUUUCCGAUGCUGGUUUAAUUCAUGGUUUAGAAAGGAGAACAAAGAAGAUUUUUCGAUGCUUUGAAAAUAUUAUAAUUUUUAUAAAAUCUCUUAUUGAUAACUAAACAACUAAAAUUUCUGUAAAGUUUUUGUGGACUUUUGAUCUCCUAUGGUGCCAAUAUUUUCGACUAAUUUUUUCCUUCAAUUAAUGAUGUUGGUUGAGAAAGACUAUUUUUCUUGCAAUAAUAUAGUAUUCGUGGUCCUAUUAGGGUUCCGAAUGGAGAAAGUUGCACUAAGUUUUUUGAGUACCAAAUGAUGAGUAAUGUACGUAAGCCUUGAUGGUAGUUAUGGUCUAAGAAAACAAGAGGUUAAAAAUACUAUCUGGGAUUUGUACAACAAUAACAAAAUUGGCAAGCCCAUUGACAUUGGUGAAUUGUCAGUUUCAACCUUGGUAAGUGUUUUCAGAACAUGCUGUGGGGUGAAGCGCUUGGAAUAAGAAAGAAACGGAUGACGAAUAUUGGGGCUGAGCUUAGAUUUAAACUUGCAGAACUCAUGGUGCUGUCAGGAACACCGAAUAUUUCGGAUAUCUUUCCAGUGCUUUCAUGGUUUGAUAUACAAGGUUUUGAGAGAAUAGCAAAGAAGAUUUCUCUAUGGUUUUAAAAUAUUAUCAAUUCUACUGUUGAACGCUAUAGAAACAAGGUCUCAGUUGUUAAAAGUGAAGAAGAAGACGCAGCAGCAGCAGCAGCAGGGAACAACAUUGAAGGAAGGAAUAAGGACCUGGUGCAGUUACUCUUGGAGCUUCAAGGUAAAGAAGAAAAUGCUUCAUCAAUUAACAUGACGCAAUUUAAGAGCUUGCUCGUGGUAUGUUUGCGCAACUAGCCACAGACAGUUACAGAAACUGAGUUUGGCAGAUUACGACCGUUUCUGGUGAUUAUAUAACUAUUUGUGGCUGUUUUUUGUUUUUUUUUUCUUUUAAUUGGAAUUUUAUUGUAAAUUUCUUAACAGGAUAUAAUUUAGGGUGGAACCAACACCACAACUAUAAUGGUGGAAUGGACAAUGGCAUAAUUGAUACAGCAUCCACAAGUAAUGGAGAAUGUAAAGGUAGAACUAAGUCGGGCCGUGGCCAUUGACAGCCAUGUUGAAGAAUUUCACCUACCUAAGUUAAAAUAUUUAGAUGUUGUGGUGAAAGAAACAUUCCGCACGAUAAUAUAAUAUAUGAAUCAUAUAUCCUCUAUUGGUUUUUUGCUCCUUUUUUUUUCAAUAGCUUAAUCUAUCAUUAAAAUCUUCUGAAAUUCUAAAUUAAUAUACAUUCAACCUAGAGUUCAACCCAAAGUUUUAUUGAGCAUUAAAAAAAAAAAUUCUACGACUAAAAAUUUUACAGAGUAUAAAUUAAAAAUUAUGCGCCUACUAACAGACAAAAAACAAUUGAUACACAUUCACCAAUCAAAGGCAAACAAGAGAUUAUUAACAAUAACUUAAUAAUAAAAUUAUAAGGAAUCAAAUAGAAAUGGUACCUAGAAACACAUCACGCCAUUUAAUCAAUCACUUACCCAUAAAAUCCAAACUUAUAAACUAUUAAGGGGGGGAAAUGGAUACCUUUGGGUUUCAUUAAAUCAAAAUUACAACACCAUUAAAUACUCAAAAAUGAAAAAAAAAAAAUCAUACCCAAUAAAAGAGAAAAAAAUAACCCACAAAAAAAAUCAUCAAGAAAAUAAAUUUGAGACUAAGAGAAGAUAUUAAUUAACGCCUGGGUUGCAUUGGAACCACGGCUUUGGCUUCCAUUUUUCAAUUCUUGGUCACAAGUGAUUUCUUGUUUGUUUGCAAUGAUGACGGUUGAUUAAUGAAGCUCUAUUAACAAUGAAUGAAUCAAAAAACUUGAGCCUUGAAAAGACUAACGGUCAUAUUUUUCAACUCCGAAUUAGUGGCGUUUGAUGAGUCCUUGCCAAAACAAUCACUCGGCAGAUAACGAUCAUUUUUCAACCAGCAAAACUCAUUCAUUGUUUUUCACCUUAGUGAAGAUUUAAAAAUUGUUUCAAAAUAGGAUUCUUAAAAAAAUAAUAAUAAAAUGAUAUUUAACUUAAUUCUAACUUAGGAAAACAAAAUAUCUACACUCCCAAAGUUUGGAGAAAUGGUCAUUAAUAUCCCCAACUUUCCAAAAAGAGACACCAAGAACCCUUUUAACCAUAAUACUAUUUACUUCUAUUAUCCCAAAAAACAAUUGACUCUAAUAUUUUAUAAUAAAUAAAAAUAUAACAUUAAAAUAAAUGUAAUAGUAUAUACAUUUUAAAAUAGUUUCAAUAUUUAAAAAGCAUUUUAAUAUUUUUAAAUUCUAUUUUAUAUAUAUUGAUUAUUUUAAAGUAAAUUUUAUAAUAAAUAGAAUCAUAAUAUUAAAAUAAAUGCAUUAAAAUUUAAAUUAUUUUGAAUAUUAUGUAAAAUAAUAAUUUUAACAUUAUUAGUAUAUGAGAAUUUUUUUAAUUGUAGAAUGCAUUUAAUGCAAAUAUUUAUUUAAAAUCUCUACAAUAAAUAAAAAUAUACUAUUAAAACAAAACUCUACAAUACAUACAUACAUACAUAUACAUUGGCCUGGUAUUUUUAUUUUUCAUUUUUAAACUUAUUAAAUCCUCUAACUAUCAUUUGAUUUUUUUUUUUUUUCAAUGAUCAAGAGGUCAUUGCCGGAUAAAUGAUUAAAAUCAACUAGUUCUACAAGAAUAUCUCUUUUUAAAGGAAGAUGAUUCUCUCUCUCGAAAUUUUUUUAUCUCGUGCUACAAACUAAAAACUUAUGCCACUUCAUUAACCACAAAGAUCUUUGAGGAAAUGAUGCUUCCCUCCCCCCCCCCCCCCCCCCCCCUCCCACAAAAAAAAAAAAGAGUCCUUCCAUAUUGUGUGAAGGCUAAUAUAUCGAUGAAUCUAGAUUUCUUUAAAUUUUUUGUUUUACUCAAUUCGAGAUAAUAAUUCAAUCCAUGCAAAUAUCUAUCAUUGUAUGAGCUGACCAGUUAAUAGGUUGAUUGAAUAUAUGUGGUAAAGAUUCCACGUAUCUCAUGACAGAAUGCUGACCACUGGAACCCUAUCUACUUUUACGCGAUUAAUUCACGAGCUUAGGCACAACAAUUGCAAUACAAAUUAUCCCCUCAUCGUAUAUUUCGUUAAAAUUCAUUCUGAAGCAGUAAAACUAAACAAUCGAAUAUGGCUUUGCGGGUCGAUGAUGCCAGCAGCAAUGAGAGUGCAAUUAUCACUUGUUUAGUUUCUGUGCUUGCCGUGGCUUAUUUCGCAUGGAAUGUGAAAAAAUCAAGGAAAGCAAAUGCUAAACUGCCACCAGGAACUCGCGGCUUGCCUGUAGUCGGAUACCUCCCAUUUCUCGGGACUACUGACUUGCACAAGAAAUUCACGGAAUUUAUUUUACUAUUAUAUUUAUAUUCAAAAUAAUUUUAAUUAGCUUUUAAAAUGAAUGAUUUUAGGAAAUUAUAAAUAAAGGUAACUAAGAAUUCUCUUAAUGCAAUAUAUUAUUAAUUAGUUUAAAAAUACAAAUUUAUUAAUUAGAGAAAUUAUUAGUGAAUUUAAAUUAAUGAUCUUAAUGAUUUGUUUGUACGAUUGCCCCCAAUCAAAGGUAAUUUUCCUAAAAAUUAUUAGGAAAUUAGAGAAAUUUAAUUUUUUUUAGUGGGUUCAAUUGCCCACACACCCCGACUGAAGCAUUUUUUACAAUAUGUACUCCGUUUGUCGGCAGGAAAAUAAAGGUCUUGACACAUGAUCACUUCAUUCCUUUAUUUACUUUGCGAACGCAGAUUUUGAGGUAUUAAAACAAAUAAUAAUUGAAUAUGACUUUGUGGGUCGACGACGCCAGCAACGAGGAGACCGCCAAUUAUCACAUUUUAAGUUUGCUGUAAUUGCCAUUGUUUUAUAUUAGUAGAAUAUUAGUGAUAAGAUAAUUGUAGAGUUUUCAUUUUUUUAAUAUUAAAAUCAAGUCAAUUUAUUAUAAUAAAUUUAGUUGAAUUUAAUCGUAUUACCACAUAAAUUGAAUAAUAAUAGAAUUCUCCACAAAUAUUUCAAUAUUUUAAUCUCAAGCAUUGGAGUGGCAUUUAUUUGUUAUGCGGUCGAUUUUAGAAUUUUUAAAAUUAUUCGUUACUGAAUUGCACCAUAUGCUGCAUCACCUGGAACUUACUAAACGGAACGUAGCGUUGGCACCGUUACCAACAUUCACUGUUACGACUUUGUGACAUUAGAAUUAAAAUCUUUUCCACAUCUAAUUUGUUUACUUCCAAAUUAAUAUUUAACAAAAUAUUUUUUCACAUUAUCAAUGGACAAAACUCCAACGAAAAUAACUAUACAAGAAAAAUGUAUGCUAGAAUUGUAUGCCAUAUCAUCUGUAAUUUUGUCAGGAUCGAUCAUUCUAAUUUUGAAGCAGAACUUUUUAUCAAUGGACAAACACCUCACACAGCUUGUCAGAGGCAUUAUUAUGAUGUAAGAUUGUAAUGGUAUAUCUUGAAUUAUUGGUAGAAUAGUGAAUAACUAUUUGGAGCAAUAAAAACAAAUAAGACAGAUGAGAAAAUGGCUAAAAUUAUAUAAGUGACCCAAAUUGUUUUGCUAUUUCCAAGAAAUCCCCAAUCUGAAUGGACCAGCCAGAGGGAGGCAAGUUAGAAAUAUGUUUCCUUCAUAGACAAUAACAACGAUGAGUCGAUGACAUCAAGCCACGUCGGUAUCAAUAUUGAAAUAAAGGUGCAAUUAUUCAGCCAAUGAGCCUUACACAUCGAGAUAAAAGUCAAGAAAAUGAAAAUUUAUCCCAAUUAAAACACUUUCUGGCUGCAUUUAGCUGUUUCCAUUUGAAGUUAAAAACAACGUUUCUUUCGUUUUGUGGGCGACUCGACUGAGCUAGCUGGCUUCUAGUGCUGGUAAGUGAAAAUAGAAGGCUAAUGAUUUCACUUUCACAUUUUUCUUUUCCUUUUUUGGGAAUCAAAGUCAAGGUCAAGAAGAAUAAAUGGAGAAUUCGGAAAAAUGGGUGCAUAAUGUGAUCCAUUCAUGAAGAAGAGUACGUGAGCGUCGGGCAACAGUAUUUUUACCUAUUAAGCUCCAGUUUAAUUUUGUUGUAGGAAAACAAAAUUUUGUUUUCAAUUCACAUCGUGUGCAUCCAAUUCAACAAACACUUUGUAAUAAUUAAUGUUGAGUUGUAUCCUACGUUAAGGAGAGUUACUUAAAUUUAUAAAUAGGAUAAAUUACUCUAUUUAAUAAGUUAAUGUUUUCUUCUUUCUUCUAGAUUACAUAUAAAUUUAGUCAGAUAACCUAACACAUAUUUUAAUACUCGAUCAGAAGCCCUAAGCAGUGGUGGAUCCAAUAAAUUGAUUUAUAUGGUGUAAUAAUGUAAUAAAAAAAUGGUGAUUCAUAAAAUUGACCCAAUAUCAAAAUUUGUUUGCAAGAUUACUCCCCACUCAAAGGUAAUUUUCCUAAAAAUUAAUAGGAAAUUUAAUUGUCAUUGGGAUCAAAUUGCCCCCACACUCUUGAAUGUAGAUCCUCCCCUGGCCUUGAGUCAAGUAUUUUUUCCAAUAUAUACUCCGAAUGUCGGCAGGAACAACCUUCCACUUUAAUUUAAAAUUUUUACUUGAAAAAUUAAUUAAUGUUAAUAAAGUUCGUAAGAGAAAUGAGUUUAAUAAAAGAAAAUUAUAGGAGAAAUUCUAAUGUUUGUCUUUUAAUAAAUUAGUUUAUAAGUUUAAAAAGUUAACAUAUAUCAAAAUAUUAUUGAUUGGUGGUGGUUUCACGUCAGAUUAAGACGUGACACUUUACUUGUGAGACUGAGACAAUCAGCUUAGACUACUUCAAUAGGUUUGAAGCGUAGGCGGCACCCAUUCAAUUUGCACCAAUGUCUAUCAUUCUUUGUCCUAAUUACUACGAUAAUUAAUAACAUGCAAUUGAAAUUAUUAAUGUUAGUACUUGCCUAUAAAUAAAGGUAUUGUACUUGAAUCUUCAUAGAUGAUCACUUCAUUCCUUUAUUUACUUUGGUAACACAGAUUUUGAGAGACAUUAAAACUAAAGAAUAAUUGAAUAUGGCUUUGUGGGUUGAUGAUGCCAGCUCCAACGUGAGUGCAAUUAUCGCAUGUUUAAUUGCUCUAUUAGCCGUGGUCUAUUUCGUGUGGACAAGGAAAACAAAUGCUAAACUUCCACCAGGACCUCGCGGCUUGCCUGUAAUCGGAUACCUCCCUUUUCUCGGAACUACUGACUUGCACAAGACAUUCACGGAAUUAGCUGGUGUGUAUGGUCCAAUCUUCAAGCUCUGGCUUGGCAACAAAUUG
RNAcentral lists this long non-coding RNA (69097 nucleotides) under Citrus maxima (pomelo). RNAcentral describes it as "long non-coding RNA (CMAX_LNC000490)". Lineage: Eukaryota; Viridiplantae; Streptophyta; Magnoliopsida; Sapindales; Rutaceae. The record is from RNAcentral.